UGCUAUCGGAGCGUUAAUGUAUCUAGCACAAUGCACUCGACCUGAUAUCGCUUUUGCGGUAAAUGUGCUUGCGCGGUACAGUUCUGAGCCUACCCGGAGACACUGGAAUGGUGUUAAACAUAUUUUUAGAUAUCUUCGUGGCACUGCAGAUUUGUAAUUAUUUUAUUCAAAGAAUGCAACUAACCAAGGGUUAGUUGGUUAUGCCGAUGCGGGAUAUAGAUCUGAUCCCCACAAAGCUCGUUCACAAACUGGAUAUUUGUUUUGUUAUAAUGGUGCAGGUAUAUCUUGGCGAUCUACCAAACAAACAUUAGUGGCCACCUCAUCAAAUCAUUCAGAAAUAAUAGCUCUUUAUGAGGCAUGCAGAGAAUGUGUUUGGCUAAGAUCGGUUAUAUCGCAUAUACGAAAUUCCUGCAAAUUACAUCCAGUUACAAACACGCCCACAGUCAUUUACGAAGACAAUGCUGCUUGUAUAGCGCAAACAAGGGGCGGAUACAUAAAAGGUGAUAGGACCAAACAUAUAUCACCAAAGUUCUUCCACACACAUGAGCUUCAGAAGAAUGGAGAGAUCGAUGUUCGACAAGUUCGCUCAUGCGACAAUCUUGCUGAUUUGUUUACAAAGUCCUUGCCUACUUCUACAUUUGAGAAAUUGGUAUAUAACAUUGGCAUGAGAAGAGCCAAUGUGACUCAAGACUGAGAGUCCAUCCUGGGACUUAUACUGCUCAUUUCAGGAGAAGCCAUGAUGUGCUACACUCUUUUUCCCUUAUGACUGGUUUUGUCCCAUUGGGUUUUCCAGCAAAGGUUUUUAACGAGGUAGCCUAUACACAUGACGUUGAUUUUAAGGAAAUGAUGUUUCGUCCAAGGAGGAGUGUUAUGACCACAUGGACUCAACCAAUAGAAUUAGGUAUAUACAUAUGCCUUCACGUGAUCUUCAUAUGUAUGCCUUGUAGACCAUUGUAUUAAUACGUGUAUUAAUUUUAAUUAAUGACUAUCUAAAACAUAUGCUUCGUGUCAUAUAUGUAAUAGGUAAUCUCAUGUAUAAAUAGAUGUAAUCAGGUGAGAUGAAGAAUUACCUUUUAUUAUAAAACAUAAUUUCUAUACAGAAGCUUUGAGUGGCUAUAUUCCCUUGUUUUCUUGUAUUAAUUCUAGUAUAGUCUCUUUAUAUUAUAUUUUAUACUAUAUUCUACAACACGUUAUCAGCACGAGCUUUUGCUCUACAAAUUUAUAGGUUUGUAAAAUUUAUCUUUUUGUUGUACUAUUUCUACUUAUUUUAUUUUACGAUGGCCGGAAUCGAAAAACAAAAAUUUCAAAUCUUUGAUGUUACCGGCAGUAACUUUUUAUCCUGGUGCUUAGAUAUCAAAUUACACCUCCAAGGGCUAGAUCUUGUAAAAGCCUUGGAUUGUGUAGAUAUCAAGGAGGCAAACAGGAAAGAUGAGGCAAAUGCUAUGAUUUUUAUUCGUCAUCAUCUUUCCGAGGAUUUGAAAGACGAAUAUAUACAACUUGAAAGGCCAUCAGAGAUAUGGCAAAAACUCAAAGAAAGGUUUGAUCACACAAAAACUGUGAUUCUCCCACAGGCCCAAUACAAUUGGCAGCAUCUAAGGCUGCAGGAGUUCAAAUCUGAUUGAAGAUAAUCGAAACCCCAAAGUGAAGGCUUGUAGUUUCCGGUUCGUCGAACAGUUGGAUUAAUAACGAGAUCAUCGCAAACGGCCUUUGCGUUGCAUUUUAACGAUGAACAGUUAGGCUUUAUUACAAGGGAGGGCACAAACCACGCUUUUAGAUGUUUUCUCGUGCUAAAGGAAGAAAUACAAUCUACGGGCUUGUUCGAAAUCGCUAGUUGCAUUAUAAUGCUACACAUUUUAUUUUGAUGACAAAAAAAUAUAUGUGUUUGCUUUUUCUUGGGUGCCUAAGGUUAGCGUUAUAUUGAUUUUUUUUAUUUUUUUUUUUGUAUAAUAUGAUAUUACAAUAUUGCAUUUCCAUCCUUCAAUUAAAAGCCAAAUCUCACUAAUAGUCCCUCAUCUUAAUGUUUAGUUCCACUUUAGUCCCUCAUGUCCCAAUUGUCUCAUGAUCAUUCUCCAACUCUACAAUCUAUCUCAAUAUAGUACUUCGGUGUAUAAUUUAGUUAACUUUAACAGGAUCUUUUAGUUAUUGGAUUAUAUUCUAUUCUUAUAAUUAUUUGUAAUAAACUAUAAAUAAAUUAAUAAAAACUAGAAAAAACAUAUAUAAUUGGAUUAGUUCUUUAAAUAUUAACAUAAGAUCAUAGAAAAAAAAUGAUAGAGAAUAUAUGUAGAUGACAUAUUAUAAUUAUUUAAAUACGUUUCUAGAUUCAAGUCAUAUAUCCACAAAAUAAAUGAUUCGUUUUAUAUUAAUAUAAAUUAAUAUUUCAUAAAAAUAGUAGUUUUUUAAGUUAUUUAUUUUCAAGCUACAUUCUUGUUGGUUGCAAAUAUUAUUUUUAAAUUACAAACUUUAUUAUUUAUUGAAAAAAGUCACAAUUUAUCAAAAAUAAUUCUAACAAUGGAAUAUUCCACCAGUCUUUAAAAAGAUUUCGUUAAAGUUAACAUGUUUAUUAACCAAGGGAUGAUAAUGAGGUGGAUUACAAAGAUCAGGGAUAAAAAUGAGACAAUUAAGACACGAGGGACCAAAGUGAGACUAAAUGUGAAAAUGAUGGACCAUUAAUAAAAUUUGGCCUCAAUUGAACGUUUUUAUAUGUAGGGAACUUUAAUUGACCAUUUUGUCCCUUUGAUAUAAAGGUAGGGCUAUCUAGUACUCUUUGAUUGGUCUAUUAUUUAAAAGUAGUGGUUCACAUUUUACAGAAUGCAAAAAAUUUGUUGAGGAGCAAAUAUGCUAAAACUUGUACAUUAUGGGACUUAUACAAUUCCAGAUAUAAUUCACGUUCAGUCGUUAUCCAUAUUUUUUUUCGUAAUUUUAUUAAAAUUAAAAAGUGGUAAUUGUUAUGACCACAUGGGAAUUAGGUAUAUACAUAUGCCUUCACGUGAUCUUCAUAUGUAUGCCUUGUAGACCCUUGUAUUAAUACGUGUAUUAAUUUUAAUUAAUGACUAUCUAAAACAUAUGCUUCGUGUCAUAUAUGUAAUAGGUAAUCUCAUGUAUAAAUAGAUGUAAUCAGGUGAGAUGAAGAAUUACCUUUUAUUAUAAAACAUAAUUUCUAUACAGAAGCUUUGAGUGGCUAUAUUCCCUUGUUUUCUUGUAUUAAUUCUAGUAUAGUCUCUUUAUAUUAUAUUUUAUACUAUAUUCUACAACAGUAAUUCAAAUUUUAUAUAAACUGAAGGGUAGUUUGGGAAGUUUGGCCCUUUGAAAAUGAUAUUUACUACUCUAUAUGUUACUGCAAUAUCUGUCUCUUUUGAAAAUUUCUUUUGUUCCAUAUUACCCGUUUCCUUACAAUUUCAAUAUUGCAUUAGUUACAUAUUUUUCAGUUAUAUCAUUAUUAACUCUCAAAUAUUAUUUAUGCAUUAAUUAGUGAAUUAACAAGGGUAUUUUGGUCUAUCAAUAUAUAUUCUCCUAAAAUCAAGACUAUGGUUGGGACUGGGUUAGGUCGGUCGAUUACCAGCCUAAAAACCGACCCAUGCGUCAAACCAUUUUUGCUCAAAUUUGAAAACCGUCACUACAAAAAAAAACUUUUAAGUGACAACACCUAUUUUCCACAUAGUUAGGCAAAAAGUGUUGUCAAUGCUUGUUACUAACGGGGUGUAACUAAUGCUCUAUAGUGACAAUAAAUAAGGAUUAAGUGACAACAAAAAGAGUUAUUAGUGACAAUAAAAAAAAAUGUUGUCACUUAAUGUGUGCAUUAAGUGACAACUUUUGCGUUUGUUACAAUUGGGUGUCGCUAAUGCAACUUUUUCUUGUAGUGCGAUGCCGACCCAACCUUUUUGGGUCGGUGGAUGGUUGGUAACCGAAUAUUUGGUUCAUAUUUGGUUCGGUUGAUGGUUUAUACCCGUCACCUAGUUCACAUAAAAAAAAUUCAAUUUUUUUAGUAAAAAUAUCCACAUUUUGCAUAAUGCUACGGUUCGAUCAUCAUUUAUCAGUUCAAAAUAAUUAAUAAUAAUUUAACGAAAAAAUAUAACUCGGAAAUUCAAGAAAUUUCAAACAUACACAAGAGAUUUAGUGGAGUUAUGUAGGCUUUUUGGUUAAGUUUUGGCAUAAAGAAACUGGUGGAAGAUUUAUGUCAAACUUUUUUCCCUUGUUGAUUGUUUUUAAAAUUUAAAAUACUAAUUAUUUUGAUAAUUUCAAUAACCAAUUAAGAAAAUACGACCUUUAUUUUAUAUUUUUAAUAAAAGUUUAAUAGUAUAGAUGGAUGACCGAUAAUUAUCGGUCAACCAACUUUUAAUAAUAUUAAAAACCACCGACCGACCCAUUAUAGAUGGGUUGGUUGACAUUUUAGACCCGAUCCAAUGGAUCGGUUAAAAAUUGAUAAUCCACCUAAAAAUAUGAUCGGUAAUAGGUCGAUUGGUGGAUAAAAACCAACCCAACCCGAUUCUAAUCAAAACGUAUUUAUUGAGAUUCAGAUUCUUAAAACACGUGUUUCAUUCGUGUGGCUAAAAUUAUGGACACAAUAUCAUACAUAUUUGACAUGACUCGCUACUUCAACAAUGGCCAAUAAUACUCCCAUCUCUCUCUUAUAUGCUCAACCCCACAUCAUGUGCAAUAAAUUUGACUCGACAGGGGUUCUUUUCAAUUGAAACAAAAUUCAGGGCGAAAUGUCAUUAUUAUAAAUUUAUACUGCGUAAAAAGGAAAAAAUAAAAAAAUAAAAUUUUAUUAAUAUGGAAACCAAUUAAUUAUGUUUCUUCCUACAACACUCAAAAAAUUUGCUUUCUCAAAAAAAAAAAAAAAAUAGAAAAAAUAACACAAUAUUUAUUUUGAACUUUAAUUUCUAAUUCAGGCGAACGCCUCAGAGAAAAAAAAAUUAGGUUCACAAAACACUGCAAAAGAAGUUUAUAUAAUAUUUUUAAAUUUUAAUUCGAAUAGUACAUAUUAUAAUAUUCUCAUAUUUCAAGCAUAAAAAAAAACUAAUUAAUCCAAAUCAUUCUAAUAGUGUAUUACAUUUAAUUAUUAAUUAAGGGAUUCAAAACACCGUCCCAUUUUAUUGUUUAAAGGUAUUAAUAAAAGAAUAAAUAUAAAUACAUAUUUAUAAUUUUUUAUUAAAAAUAGUACUAGUUUUCACCAUUUUAUGUUAUAUUAUUAUAUUUAAUAUAUAUAUAUAUAUAUAUAUAUAUAUAUAUAUAUAUAUAUAUAUAUAUAUAUAUAUAUAUAUAUAUAUAUAUAUAUAUAUAUAUAUAUAUAUAUAUAUAUAUAUAUAUAUAUAUAUAUAUAUAUAUAUAUAUAUAUAUAUAUAUAUAUAUAUAUAUAUAUAUAUAUAUAUAUAUAUAUAUAUAUAUAGACAUAUAAAGACAUACACAUACAUAUAUAUAUAAAUAAAUAUAUAUAUGUAUAUAUGCACACACACAUAUAUAUACAUACACACACAUACACACACAUUAAAUUUCAUUAUAUAUAUGAAUAUUUAUAUUUCUCUAUAUAUAUAUAGAAACCCCUCUUUUCCCAAAAAAUGAAAAGAAAGAGACAGUGUAGAAGCGGACUUUUUUUUUAUAUUUUUUAUAACGUNNNNNNNNNNNNNNNNNNNNNNNNNNNNNNNNNNNNNNNNNNNNNNNNNNNNNNNNNNNNNNNNNNNNNNNNNNNNNNNNNNNNNNNNNNNNNNNNNNNNAUAUAUAUAUAUAUAUAUAUAUAUAUAUAUAUAUAUAUAUAUAUAUUCAUAUAGAGAUAUAUAUAUAUAUAUAUAUAUAUAUAUAUAUAUAUAUAUAUAUAUAUAUAUAUAUAUAUAUAUAUAUGCGUGUGUAUAAUUUAUAUAAGAUUAUGGUGACGAAACAAAAUAUUGAAAGGUUAAGAAAUAUACUAUUUACCAAAAAAUUGGAGGGGCAAGAAUAUUUCAAAAAUAAAUCAACUACGAAAUAGCUAAUUUUUUUUUUCUUGCCUUCAUAGGUCCGCCACUGUCAAAUAGACAGUACAUAAAUUAUUAUUGUGCGUAUGGGCAAGAAAUUAUUUAUGAAGACACAGACAUGCAAACAAAUUAAAUUAAAUUAAAUUUAUGAAUUUUCGAAAUUAUCUAUAAAUAAAUAGAAGUCCCUCUUUUCCCAACAAAUAAAAAAAAAAAAAAAGAAGAGAAGCAAAACAUUGAUUCAUAUUAUUUAUAAUGUCUACUACUCUUAUUAUCUGCACACCCAAAAUUCCUAAAUAUAAUCCAAUUAAAUCUCUUUCUUUUUUUAACAGCAAAAAAAAAUCAAAACUGUUCUUUGCAGCCUCUUCUAUUAAUCCAGCUGGUAAUGGCUUAAUUAUAAUUAGGCCUUGUUCAUUACAAUGCAAUGCUCAGGUUAAUAACUGUGAUCAAGCUCGAUUAGUUACUAUUGUUAAUCGACGGUCUGGAAACUACGAGCCUCCCGUUUGGAGUUUCGAUUUCGUUCAGUCGUUGAACACUAAAUACAAGGUAAUUGAACAUAUUUAAUUUAUAUCAAUGUUGAUAUUUAUUAAUUCAUUAGUAUUUUUAAUAUAUGCUUUUUUUGUGUGUGUAUAUAUGUAUAUAUAGGAAGAGAGAUAUUUGAAGAGGGGUAGUGAGUUGGUGGAGCAAGUGAAGAAGAUGUUAUUAGUGGAUGAACAAAUAUUAAUUCACAAAUUGGAGUUGAUUGAUAAUUUGUACAUGCUUGGUAUUUCUUAUCAUUUUGAGGAUGAAAUUAACCAAAUCUUGAAUUAUUUAUAUAAUCAACUCAUUAACGGCAAUAUUUUUAAUAAUAACAAAUAUUAUGAUGUAAGAGAUAAUUUGUACUCGGCGGCACUUGCAUUCCGACUCUUCAGACAACACGGUUUUCGCGUCUCCCAAGGUACGUUGUUUAUACAUACAUAUAUACAUAUAGACACGCCUCGGGCUGGGCUUGACCCAGACUCGGACCGGAGACUGCCCCGACUCGCUCCGUUGACCAUGAACCCGGACCCGGACUCAACCAAGUACGGAUCGGUUUCGGGUCCCGAUUAUUUGGACCCGGGACCCGACAGGUCUACUCGGCGGGGGAUCCGAGGACCCGUUGGGUCAACCCGUAUUUCCGGUUUUUUUGUCCAAAUAUUGUGCGGGGGAGAUUCAAACUCGGGAAAAUGGGCAGAAUUGGGCAACUCCAACCACUCGGGCAACCAACAUAUUUUUUUUUGUUUAAAUGUAGACAAUAAAUAUAUAUGAUAUAAAAUGCUAGUGUAAAUUAAAGUGAUAAAUAUGUUAAAUAAAUUAUUAAUUUUCAUAUUAAUUAUUAUUAAAUAAUUUUAAUUAAAUUAUUAACAAACGCAAUAUAAGAAACAUUUAAAUAAAUAUAUAGAAUCAGGGUUCAAUAUCUCAAAAUUACAUCUAUUAUUAAUUAUUAUAUCAAUAUAAUCUCCACUAUUGAAAAAUAUAAAGUAUUGAAUCAAUUCAAUAUACAAACAAACACGUUAACUUAAUACAAACUCACUUAUGUUAUUAAAAUCGACAGUGUGAAAAAUUCGAAUGAAAAAUAAAAUAAGAUAUUUAAAAAAAUAGAUUAUAACUCAUUUCAAUUAAUUUAAAUCGAUUAACCUCAAUUGUUGACAAGAACUUAUUAAAAUUAUUGAUUAUUUUAUCAUAAGAUAAUUAUUUAAAAAUAUAGAUGAUGUUUAUUUUAACAAAAAUAAAUUAUAUCUCAUUCUAAUUAAUUUCUUACUUUAAAAAUAAAACUAUAUAUUACGAGUAUAAUCAAAAUAUUAUGAUGUGAUUUCUCUUUUAAUAAUUGGUUUUAUUUGUAAAAAUCGUAAGAAUUAAAUCGUAGGUCAUAUGAUUUAAUCAAUUUUUUUUUACAUUUACAUUUUAUUCAAAUAUUAGAAUCGAAUCGUAAGAUUUAAAUGGAUCAAGCUCAAGUCCUUUCAAUUUUUUUUAUUAUAUAAUAUUUGUUAAUAAUUUAAUUAAAAUUAUUUAAUAAUGAAUAUGAUAAUUUAAUAAUCUUUUAACAUUAUUUAUUAUAAUCAUUUUAUGCCUUUUGUUUAUGUUAUAUAUAUUCCUUGUUAUAAAUUAUAAUAAUCCUAACUAUAAAUAUAUAAAUAUAAAUAACACUGUAAAUCAUUAUAAUAAUUGUAUAACUAAUGUUUUAUAAAUUAUUAAUUGUCAAGUUGACUAUUAUUAAUAUCAAAAAUCUCGACUAAUAACAAAUGCAUAUAUAUUUAAUUUUGAAAAAUAUAACAAAAAAAGAUUUAAUUUUGAUUUUUUUUGAAUUUUGAAAUUUUGAAAAAUUUCUCAAUUAUUAGUUUGAUCACUUAUAAAUACCCAUAAUUCAAUAUUCACAACUUUCAUUUUAUUUAGUUAUGUGUCAAGGUCUUAAUCGUUUCGUUUUUUUUUUUUAAAUUGUUUAGUGUUUAAAUUCAAUUAUUUUUUUAAUUUUGAAUUCAAUGUUAAUCUCAUGUUUUUUCAAGUUUCAAUGUAAGUUUUUUUUCUUUCUUGUAAAUAAAUAGAUAAAAGAAAUUAAAAACCCGGUUUGGACCGAGACCCGACCCGCCUCGUGGCCAUGUCUACAUGCAUGCAUACAUACAUACAUACAUACAUACAUACAUACAUACAUACAUCGUAUUAUGUAUUGAAUGACCACCUCAUCGAACGCCGAUUGCAUUUCGCAGAUGUGUUUGAUACUUUCAAGAACGAGACGGGUGAUUCUUUUAAGGCGAGUCUUGGAGACGAUAUUAAUAGUACUAAAGGACUGUUGCAACUUUAUGAAGCUUCUUUUUUUAUGACACGUGGCGAGAAAACAUUGGAGCUCGCAAGAGAAUUUUCUGCCAACUUACUGCGAAAAAAACUCGACGAUGAUCGAAUUGACGAUGACAAGGGCGAUACUUUAUUAUUAAUGGUUCGUCAUGCAUUGGAGCUCCCAAUUCAUUGGAGGGUUCAACGGCCAAAUGCAGGAUGGUUCAUCGAACAAGUCUACGAGAAAAGUCAACACAUGAACCCUAUUCUACUCGAGCUUGCCAAACUCGACUUUAACGUUGUUCAAUCGACACAUCAACAAGAACUCAAACAUCUCUCUAGGUACGUAAGUUAAUUAUUUCGAUCUGGAUCGACUAACUUGUUCGAAAAAUAGUAAUUACUUUGAAUUUUGAUUUGUAUAUAUUAUAGUUGGUGGGAGCAAAUAGGGCUAGCUAAGACAUUGCCAUUCGCGAGGGAUAGGUUGGUCGAGAAUUACCUAUGGACCAUCGGUGGGUUGUUUGAGCCUCGAUAUGGAUAUUCAAGAAUCAUGGCAACCAAGGUCAAUGUCUUUAUUACGAUAAUCGAUGAUAUAUUCGAUGUUUACGGUACUUUAGAAGAACUAGAGAUCUUCAAUGACGUCAUUCAAAGGUCCGAAUAAUUAAUUAAUUAAAUUUAUUUAAAACUUUCUAGAAUAAAAUAUAUAUAUAUAUAUAUAUAUAUAUAUAUAUAAAACUCAAAAUUCAAAUGUUUGUUUAUUAUCAUUUUUCAGAUGGGAUAUUGAAGGAAUGGACAAACUCCCACACUAUAUGCAGAUGUGUUUUCUAGCUCUCAACAACUUCGUCGACGAAUUGUCGUACCAUGUUCUCAAACAACAAGGAUUUCUCGUCGUCCCACAUUUAAGAAAAUCCGUAAUUAAUUAGACUUACAUUAAUUUUUAGUUAAAAUUAAAAUAUUUGAUUAUUGAUUUAUAUAUAAAUUUAAUUUUUGCAGUGGGCAGAUUUAUGCAUGGCUUAUAUGCAAGAGGCGAAGUGGUACUCGAAAGGGUACGCACCAACACUCGAAGAAUACAUAAACAAUGCAUGGAUUUCGAUAUCGGCUCCUGUAAUACUCUCUCAUGCAUUUUUUCUCGUGACGAAUCCAAUAAAAAAGGAAGCCGUUCGAAGCUUGUACGAAUACCACAACAUAGUUCGAUUAUCGGCAAUGAUUCUACGUCUUGCAAACGACCUUGGCACAUCACCGGUUCGUAAUAAUAUGAUACUAAUUAGUGUAUGCUGAUAAUUAAUAUUUUUUUAUUUUUAUGAAAAAAAUAAAAAUUCUUUGACUUAAUUAUUAUUAUUAGGAUGAGAUGAAACGAGGGGAUGUUCCGAAAUCGAUAGAGUGUUACAUGAAUGAAAGUGGAGCUGGUAGAGAAGAGGCGCAAGACUAUGUAAGGUGUUUGAUAAACGAGACAUGGAAAGAGAUGAACGAAGAAUUACGAGUUAUUACGGAAUCGCCAUUAUUCGAACGAGAUUUUGUGAGAAGUGCGGUUGACUUAGGGAGAAUGGCACAGUAUAUGUACCAAUAUGGAGAUGGGCAUGGAAUUCAAUUUCCUGAGAUGAAGGAUCGUAUUAUAAGUUUGUUGUUUGAGCCCUUUUGUGUGUAAACUUUAUUUAACUAGCUAGAGUAUAAAUAAUUCAAUAUAAUAAUGUACUUGUGAGUUUGGAAAUAAAAAAUUGUUAACAGAAAUAAUCAAACUUCAAUACAGAUGGGCAUUUGGUCUAGUGGUAUGAUUCUCGCUUUGGGUGCGAGAGGUCCCGAGUUCGAUUCUCGGAAUGCCCCUUUUAGAUUACCCAAAAGUUAUAACUAAAUAUAGUUGGAUAUUUACACUUUUUGUCCUAUACCUAAAUGCGAUUUUAGUCCUCAAACUUUUAAAUUCACGAAAUUAGUUCUCAAUCUUACCAUAUUUUGACAUUUUCGGUUGGCUGUAAAAUUUUCCAACUAACUCGGACGGAAGUGUCACCAUUUUUUUCGUCGCUAACUGAAAUUAGGCAUUAAAUAUUUGGGAGAGAGAAGAGAUAACGGUGAGGUAGAAGAAGUUUAGUUCCAGCUUAUUUGUAGGGGGCCAAGUCGACCUCACGUGAGGUGCACGUGACGAUUCAAUUCAAUUUAACAGAAAAAUUUGACACCCAAAUAAAACUAUCAAAAAGUGGCAAGUUUGAUGACUAAAUUCGUUGCGACAAUUGUUAUGAGGAUAAAAAUCCUAUUAAUAUAGGACUAAAUGCAUGUGAAAUACAAAAUGAGUGACAUAAUAAUAAAUUAAUAAUACGAAAAUAGCAAAUAUAUUAAAUAGUGUACACAAAAGGGUCAAACAGCAAAUUUGCAAUACGGUCCUUCAUCUCAGGAAUAUGCAUUCCAUACCCAUCUCCAUGCUGGUACAUAUACUGUGCCAUCCUCCCUAGUUCAACUGCACUCCUCACAAAAUUUUCCUGGAAUGGCGAAUCCGUAAUUACUCGCUCUUCAUUCAUUGUUUUCCACGUCUCGUAUAUAAUAGACCUUAUGUACUCUUGCGCCACUUCUCUAUCCGCCCCACUUUCGUUCAUGUAACACUCGACCGACUUAGGCACAUCCCCUCGUUUCAUUUCAUCCUAAUAAUUUGUAUACGUCGUUAAUUUCAAAAAAAAAUUAUUAUUAAAGUAUUGUACGAGAUUAAAUUAAUAAUAUGUACUAUAUAAUUACCGAUGAUGUAGCUAGGUCAUUCGAAAGACGUAGAAUCAUUGAUGGACAUUGAAUUAUCUUGUGGUAUUUGUGCUCGUACAAGCUUUUAACGGCUUCAUCGUGUAUCGGAUUCGUCACGACAAAAAACGCAUGAGAUAGUAUUACAGGAACGGACGACGAAAUCAAUCCAUUCUCGAUGUAUUCUUCGAGUGUUGGUGUAUAAUCUAUCGAGUACCACUUCGCCUCUUGUAAAAAUGUAUUGCAUAAAUCUGCCCACUGCAUGCAUGCAACACUUUAUGUGUGUGUGUGUGUGUGUAUGUUUAUAUAUAUAUAUAUAUAUAUAUAUAUAUAUAUAUAUAUAUAUAUAUAUAUAUAUAUAUAUAUAUAUAUAUAUAGAUAUAUAUAUAUAUAUAUAUAUAUAUAUACACAUACAUAUAUAUAUAUAUGUAUAUACACAUAUAUAUAGAUGUACAUAGAGAACAAGAUACACCUUUUCAUAUACAAAGUUGUAGAGAGCUAGAAAGCAUAUCUGCAUGUAGUGUGAGAGUUUGUACAUUGUUUCAAUAUCCCAUCUACAAAAGGAAAACAAAUCUAUGUGUUUUUUUGGUUUGAAUAUCCAGUACUAUAUAAUUAUUAUAUANNNNNNNNNNNNNNNNNNNNNNNNNNNNNNNNNNNNNNNNNNNNNNNNNNNNNNNNNNNNNNNNNNNNNNNNNNNNNNNNNNNNNNNNNNNNNNNNNNNNCAUUCUUGAUAUCCAUAUUGAGGCUCGAUCGGCCCACCAAUGGUCCAUAGGUAAUUCUCGACAAGCCUAUCCCUCGCAAACGGCAAUGUUUUUGCAAGCUCCGUUUGCUCCCACCAACUAUAUAUAUAUAUAUAUAUAUAUAUAUAUAUAUAUAUAUAUAUAUAUAUAUAUAUUGCAUAAUAAAUACAAAUUAAAAUUAAAAUUAAUAACUAUAUAGUUUCGGACGAGUUAGUUAGUCAAGAUCUAAAUAAUUAACCUACCUAGAGAGAUGUUUGAGUUCUUGUUGAUGAGUCGAUUGAACGAUGUUAAAGUCGAGUUUGGCAAGCUCGAGUAGAAUAGGGUUCACGUGUUGACUUUUCUCGUAGACUUGUUCGAUGAACCAUCUUGCAUUUGGCCUUUGAACCCUCCAAUGAAUCGGGAGCUCCAAUGCAUGCCGGACCAUUAACAAUAAAAUACCGCCCUCGUCGUCGUGAAUUCGAUCAUCGUUGAGUUUUUUGCGCAGUAAAUUAGCGGAAAAUUCUCUUGCGAGCUCCAAUGUUGUUUCGCCUUUUGUCAGAAGAAAAGAAGCUUCGUACAGUUGUAGCAAUCCUUUAGUAUCAUCGUUGAGACUCGCUUUAAAGUCGCCCGUCUUGUUCUUGAAACUGUCAAACACAUCUGCCACGCAUGCAAAUCGAUUUUAGAUGAAGUAAUUUUGAGGCCUAAAGUGAAUAAUAAAAUGGGAAUUUUGGGAAAGAUGCAUGUGUGUUAAUUAAAUCAUGGUAUUCAAGUUGCACAAGCCUGAAUAUAUAUAUAUAUAUAUAUAUAUAUAUAUAAAAUUCUAUUAAUUUAGCGAAAUAUUAAAUUAUCGAACUAAUAAUUUAGUAGGGUUUUACCGAUUUGGGACCGGAAAAACUAUUAUUUAAUUGAGGUUCUACUGUAUAGGGUAAUUUGCAUCCAUCUCUCCUAAAUUUUGAUCUUUUAACAAAUACACCCCAAACAUUUAACUUUUUGUCAUAUACACCCCCUUCAUCCACUAAUUUUGAACAUAAUAUAGUAAUUUGCAUCUACCUCCUCUAACUUUGGUAUUUUAACAACCACAUCUUACAUAAAUAAAUUAUUUAUUUAUUUAUUUAUUAUUAUUAUUAUUAUUUUUUUUUUUUUUUAUUAUUAUUAUUAUUAUUAUUAUUAUUAUUAUUAUUAUUAUUAUUAUUAUUAUUAUUAUUAUUAUUAUUAUUAUUAUUAUUAUUAUUAUUAUUAUUAUUAUUAUUCAUUUUUUGUGGAUUAUGCAGUCCUUUUUCACCCGGUUUAACUGUCGGUAAUUAUUUCUAUUUUUUUUUACGUUCACAAUUCAAAUGUUAUAUUUCAAUUAAUCAGUAUUACUUUUUUUUCAACCGGGCCAUAUUACAUUUACAUAUAUAUGGCAUGACGAGNNNNNNNNNNNNNNNNNNNNNNNNNNNNNNNNNNNNNNNNNNNNNNNNNNNNNNNNNNNNNNNNNNNNNNNNNNNNNNNNNNNNNNNNNNNNNNNNNNNNAGGUCCGCGCGGAACUCUCCCGCGUUCUAAAAGGUAAUGUUGUUGAUACAAACAAGUCAAGAUUUGGUCAAUUUCAUCCUCAAAGUGAUAAGAAAUACCAAGCCUAUACAAAUUAUCAAUCAACUCCAAUUGUUGAAUAGGCUCCAUUGACAUAACUUGUUCCUCCACCACCAUCAACUUCACUUUCUCCUUCAACUCACAACCCCUUUUCAUGUAUCUCUCUUCCUAUAUAUAUAUAUAUAUAUAUAUAUAUAUAUAUAUAUAUAUAUAUAUAUAUAAAGACAUUAAAUUAUUAAAAAAAAAAAAAAAAAAAAAAGAAAGAAAGAAAAGAAACCCUAAUGAUCGAGUACUAGUUAAUAUUGAUCAAGUGCAUUUGUCGAAUACGAUAUACCUUGUACUCGCUGCUCAGUGAUUGAAGAAAAUCGAAACCCCAAAGGGGAGGCUUGUAGUUUCCGGUUCGACGAACAAUAGUUGGACUCUGAUCACCACAAACGGCGGCGGCGCCGCCAUUGGUAUUAUUAAUGCAUUUUAUUGACGAACAUGAAUUUGGCCUUACUGAUCUUGUUGCAGUACGAGAAUAUACGAAGCACGCUUUCGAAUCUUUCCUCUUGUUCAAAGAAGAAGAAAGAUAAUUCAUUGGCUUGUUGGAAAUCGCCAAACAUGGCAUUGUAAUGCUACUACACAUUUUUUUAUGAGAAAGAAAGAAAAAAAGAUUGUAUGUAAAUUUGGUUUUUCUUUUGCUUGAUUUUCUUGGGGAGGUUGGAUCAUUUAUGAAUGCAAUAGUUGGCUUUUUUUAUUGAUAGAUGCGAUCGUUCUCGUAUUUCGACUGCAUCGAUGUACUACCACCAGUGCCGCAUACAUCCCAAUGUACUACAAAAUGCUACAAACUGAAUCCCGCCGUUGAGUUAUGUCAAUGAAUCAGUCCAUUUUCAAAGUUGACCGAUAUCGUUACACGAGAUAAUAUAAUGUUAAAAUUUAUUUGCGAAUUUUAAUCUAUUAUUUGCAAUAUGGAAUCUUGACCCACUAGAUAUAAAGAAAAUAUUAAAUAUGAUCAAAAGCGACCCUUGAUCUUAGGUUAGGGUAGUCAGCCAAUUAUAUAUUUGUAGCAGGGCCGGCAUUAAUAAAAUAAUAUAGAUACAUACCUGGACACGUUAAAACAUGUCAUAAUAAAUAAACUCAAAUAUGUGAACAGGGUCAUGUGAUUUAUUUAUUAUUUUCCUACAUGUAAUUUAUUUAUAAAUUUCCUACGUUUUGCAUGUUGGAUUCCUUAUUUUUUUUCUUUGUUUUUAUAAUUUAUGAAAUCAUUUGUAGCUAUUAUUUUGUAAAUAAAAAAUAUGUAUUUCAUCCAUAAAUUUCUUUUUUAUUUUACUUUACUAUAAAAUAAUUUUAUGUUAUUUGUAUAAUAUUUAUUUUAUUAAUUUAUAAUGCUUAUAUUUAAGAAAGUAUUAAAAGAAAUAAAGAAUAAAAAUAAAGCAAAACUAAAUUAAAAUCAAACAUUAAUAAAUAAAUAUGAUAUCAAAAAAUAAAGCAAAUACAACACACGUAGAAUAUAAGACAAUUCAUUAAAAAAAAAUUAAACAUCUUCGUCUCCAAAGAUAAUAUUCCAUAAAUGGUUCAUAAGAUCGGAUCUCAAGACUUCAUUAGUUCCUCGAUUGCGAAUUCGGUCAAGGCGUGCUGAUAUGUAAUACACUAAAAUUGAUGGAUCUCGACCAUAUUCAGGAGGGGAAAUAUUUUCUUCUGGUAAAGGAGUGCUGAUAUGUAAUAUUUUACGUUAUUAAUAUUUAUGUUAAUUUAUGUUAUUUGUAAAUAUUUUAAAUUUGUAAAUACAAUUUAUAUAAUUAUAAAAAUAGACAAAAAUAAAUAACUCACAACUUAAUAAAACAUUAUAUAUAAUAAAUUAAAAUAAUUUCAUUUAAAAAUUAAUAUAAAUUGAUGAUAGUUAUAUAUUUUACUAAAUAAAUAUAAAAAAAAUAAAAAUAUAAUUUCAUAAUUAUUAUAUUUAUAAUGAAUAUUUUAUUAGAAUUUAAUAUUUGAGGACAUUUUAGGGAGGACCGAAAACCAACCCAUUGGAGUAGAUUGUAAUUUGGGGAGUGUUUAAGUAGGACCCGUUGUAUAAAGAGGUAUUUAAAUGUGUAUGUGGGGGAAUACGAUGCUACACCCGGUGAUUUUCACCGGGUGGCUCUUUUCUUGACAUGUGUCCUUUUUUAUUUAUUUUAUAAUUAUAUUUUUAAAACCUAUUGGGCCAUAACUGAACCCGUAGUGGGAAUCUUAUUAAUUAGGGUGCAUGGUUAUAUUCACCGGUUGUAGCAUAGAAAUUCCCGUGUAUGUGGCAUGUGGGAUCCACAUUUUGGGGAGGGGUUUCAGGGAUGAGCAUUGUGGAUGCUCUAAUCUGUUAAAAAAUGCAACUUGUUAUAUAUAAUAAUAAUAAAAUGUUAUUUGCGGUCACAAAUUGCUAUUCGCGGUUUAUAACAAAACCCCCCAAAACUUUUAAAAAUAUCCAAAAACCUCCCAAAACUGCAAAUAGCAAAAAAAAGAAAAAAAAAUUGAAAUUUCGAAAUCAAGCUUGAAGAAGGGUUGGGCUUCGUUUUGAUGUAAUUUCGACUCUUUUACGUGUAAUAUGCAUUGGGUAGGUCGAUUACGGAACCAAUUUCAUGUUAAAAAGCCCUACAAAUCGAUUUGUAGGGCUUUUGUUUUUCGCAAAAAAAUGUUCGAACGCCCAAGAUGGGCGCCCAAGGCGUGUACGAACCUUGGGCGCCCAUUUUGGGCGUUCGAACAUUUAAAAAAAAAAAAAAAAAAAUUGCACUGGGCGCCCAAAUGCAGCUUGCACGCCCAACUUGGGCGUGCAUGAAUGGGCGCUCAAGUUGGGCUUUCACGCGUUUUGGGAGGGUUUUUGAAUUUUUUUGGGAAGUUUUGGGGUUUUAGUAAAAUAAAAUAUUUUUUUGGGGGAUUUUAUUAUAAAUCGCAAAUAGCAAUUUUCAAACCGCAAAAAGCAAUUCCCGUAAUAAUAUCAAGAUUAGUUCAUGUUAAUCUAGUUGGUUGGUACAAGGUUUUUUUUUUUUUUAAUUGACAAGCAGAUGAAUGUUGCAAAGAGGUUAUCAAUUUUGAUAUUGAACUCCUAGAUUUUGGAUGUCACCAAAUUCAUUACUAGAACAAAGAUCCACAUCAAAAUGCCAGAUAGGCGGUUGCUAAAGCUAUAUAUUACACCACGCCAAAAUGACAGCUAUACACAAAAUAUAUUACAUAUACAUAUAUAUAUAUAUAUAUAUAUAUAUAUAUAUAUAUAUAUAUAUAUAUAUAUAUAUAUAUAAGAACGGAUGAUUUUUUAUAUAUAGUGACUAAACCCCUCUCAAAAUAUGGUCCUGCACAUAUCAUGACUACUAUACCCUCCCAAGAUUUGCAUAAUUUCCUCCUUACACAAUGAGACGAACUGGUCAUCGAAUCGAUCUCCUCCUCCUACUAGUCUUUCUGAUGGUGGCUAUUUCCAUCUCACUUUCUUCUUCGGAAUCCUCAACAACACAUGCCGAAAGAUCCUCACUCGACAUUGAAGAAUUCUCGUACUUUACUUGAGUAUCACAAACACGAUUCUCCUCAUUCUGCACAUCAAUUACAACACUCGACUCGCCAGAACAAGUUCUAGAAGCUUCCUCCGAAACAACCUUCUUUAUUUCUUCUCUCCUUGAACUACGAAGGCUAUAAUACCGUGAAGGCCUUAGUUUCUCAGUUUCGUGUUUGCUUGAUGUGUCGAGUAUCUCCUGUUCGAGAUAUAACAAUCAAGAAAUGAAAUGGUUUGAAAAUUAUGUAUAGUCAAACUUUGAGCAUAUUUUGCUCUAUCCGAGUUUUCUAUGCAUGGAAAAUAGAAAUAUAAAUGCUUGUUUGUGAGGGUUUACCUUGAUCGGCAAACUCAUGGUGUUGAACUGAUUAUCUGGCAUCAACGGCUGAACAUUUUCGAUAAUGACUGACUCGUCAAUAUUUCUCUUCUCAAUUAAAUUUUCGAGGUCAUCACACGAGUUUAAAUUGAUACCAAGACAUAAUUGAUCUUUUGCAACAGUUUGAUGAACAAACUUUACACCACUGUCGUCCUCGUCUGUACCACUUUGAUAACAUUUGUCACGAGUGGUCGGAGGAUCGUUCAGAGCAUUGUCUUCGACUAUUCUAUGAAUCAGUUUUCUGAUAUGGUCGCGUUUUUUGAGAGAAACCUCGGCAGGAAAGAACCAAUCCUCAUUAAGCUGCAGAGAGAGAGAACUUUUGGUAAUAAAUAUACUUAAAACAUAUUGUUGAACAUACAGUGGUAAUACCAUAAAUAUGGAAAAUGUACAUGAAUGUUCGAUGCUAUAACAAUAUAAAGGUCUAAUGUAAACAGAGGUCGUAUUUUAGUCAAAAUAAUGCAGGUAUUGCUUUAAAUCGUUAUUGACUCAUUGACCAGGAGAACUAUAAAAUGAACGAACAGUGACCACACUAAUCCCAAUAAAGCUACUCCGAAAAUAGAAUCAACUGGUCGGAGAUCACUUAAUGCAGGAAUCAUUUUACAAAUUCAAUUUUCCCCUGAUCUAUGUCCAAAGUACCAGAAGAGAUGAACAACUUACAAAGUCAAGAUAUUUAGUUGCACUGAGGUUUGACGCCUGCUCCAGAAAAAGUUCAGCAUAAUGAAGCAAAAAAAGGCCACAGUCGAACCAGUUUUCUUGUUGUGGCAACUGAAACAAAACAACCAGAAAGGAAGGAAAAAAAAUUACAACCAACAAAAUUGCCUUGUGUAAUGAGAGGGGAUGGGUAACGGUAAUCUGCAAUUAAAUAAUGAUGACCGGCACAACUAGGAUGCAUCACAGUAUCUGGUUGCUUUUUAGCAAGUUUCACAUGCACAUUUACAUUAAAAUCUUUCCAGUCUGUAUUCUUCACAAUUUAACUCAAUUCCCGCUUUUUGACCUCAAAAUUAAACUUCGUUUCACAUGACUUAGCCUCCCAACCACCCCUCAAAUCUAUUUCAAGUAAACUAUAUUGACAUCCGACGGAAGAUAAAUUGAUGUUACAUUAUCCGUUCGACAAAAAACAAAAUUGGUUAAUUUUCCAAACUGUAACAUUUAGACCUCAUUUGCCUCUGUGUCAAGGCAUAUUGAAAAUGUCUCCAUGCCGUCAAUUACUGCUCAAUAUCGGAAACAUCAUCCAGUGUUUAUUCAAUUUAAUGCAAGACAAGUUAUCUGGAAAAAAGUAAUAAAGAUGGAGUUAGGCUGAGUAAUAGAACCUGAAGCAUGAUAAAAUCCAAAUUCAAGAACUUUGUGGCAAUAUCUUCUUCAUGCCUAUUCCCCCGCUCUUUCCAUUCUUCUGAUAAAUAACUAUAUUUUAACAUAAGAAAAGAAGUUGAGAGUGGGGUUGUUGUUUAAUGUGUCAAUCUCUUUUGCUGAUGCUAGAUAAACCUAACCAAGAAUCCACAAGCAAAAAAGGGUGAAAGUUUAUAGAAAGUGGUACUUGGAGAAAAAUAAUCAUAUAAGAGCGAAUUUUGGGUAAACCGAUAAUUCAAGAUUAACUUGAAGAAAAUCAUUACAUUAACCACAGGAGAGAAAACGUGAUGAAUUUAUUUCCAUCGAUGCUCUCCUUUACUGAAACAACAGAUUUUAGUAAUAGCACUCACUACACGUUCCAGUUAACUAAUAAUUGAAAACAUGCACAUUGUGAAUGUAUUCAAUGAUUACAGAUAUUUGAUAGUAUCUAAAAGUCCAACUAUUUCUAUAUAUGGGUUCUGGAAAUUACACUUCAUACCCUUGCUAAUUAACCAUGACCACCAAAAAUUUCCAAGUCAAGGUUCCUGGAUUAAAUUAAGGGGAAAUUCUAUAUUGGGCUGAAUCUAGCCAAACCCCAACUAAUCACACGGCAAUUGUGAAAAUAAAUUAUCCUCACAAUUACUACCUUUGGAGUGUAAAGAAGUCUAGUAGCAAACAUAGACCACUUGUGCUACAAAUAACUACGAUUUGGCCAGACAAGAUGAAGAGAAAUUUUUCCGUUAACGUGAAAUAAACAAUAGUAGGACUGUGGGUGGUUUCCAUUUUCUUGGAAAUGACACGGGCUUGUCUAGAGCAUCAAACCAACAGCUUACCUUCUAAUAAGAUCCUCAAACCCUUUAUGGCUUCCUCUGAUAGAAUCCAUGUGUAAAAUACACGGCCCCUUAGAUGAGGCAUCCACGCUUUUGUCUGUACAAUGAUAUCCAAAUGUCAAGCAGAGAAAGUAGCAACCACUAACUAAAGAAAAUGAAAAGGAUUACGUGAAGAGAUAUGCCUCGUAAAUUAGCAACUUCCCCAGGAUGGCAUAUAACAAUCAAACUCCAAUGCAGGCUACAAAAAGAGGGAAACAACAACCUUAGAAAACCAACAUAGAUAUAUAUACAUCUUGGAAGGUCCAUAACAGUAUUUCUUACCUGAAAUUUACAGGUAUAAAUAUGUAAUCCUUUUCAAAAAUGUUGACAUUCCUUGUCCAUUUACGAACACAUCCAAAAACAUCUCUUCCUUCGCAAUCUCUAUAUAAAUCUCGAUUCACAUUCACAAGCUUCUGGAAGAAAAAUGUGUUGAAAAAAUGGAACCUGUGCUGCUCCCCUGGUUUGAUUUUGGUUACAAGGUAUCUGCCAUUCGACUACAUAUUUCAGUUAUGCUACGUUUGAUUUAAUAAACUCAGAAGUUAUGCUACGUUUGAAAUCUGCAACUAUGCUGCAAAACAAUAGGAGAGACAUAAUAAUCAUGGACAAUUGGUUCACACUUGAAACUAGUUACUAUCCACAUCCCAAGAUGAGUAUCGAAGAAUUAGGAAAAUGAGGAUUAUCAACCAAUACUAAUAAAGUAUGGAAAGGAGGAUUUUUGUUAAGCAGACUGUAAACUUACUUGAUAUAGAAGUCAAUUAUAGUAUCGUUUAUGAAAGUCCUUGGCUGCAAUAGCUCAAUAUCUCUUUUACUUAAGAAGACAGCAUCAGGAUCGCCAUCUGGAUAUAUUAUGUCUUCAAAGGAAUCUUUAAAAGAACACUCACUGAAAUUUGAAUGACAAAUAUUUAAAAAUUAAAAUUGAUUUAUAUCAAGAGAAAAACCUGAAGACAAAGAUAUGACAUAGUCAGUUAUAAUUUCUCUUUCAUCUAAAUCUAACCGUCUUUUCCAUUUCUCCCAGAAUCUAAACCUAAUUGUUGAUUCAUUGAUACACAGCUUCUAUUUUAUCUCCCUCCCUUUUAACCCUGAUCCAACACAGUGACUUCUCAUUUUUUUUGAAAGAUAACAUGAAAUUUGUAUUUAUCUUCGAUAGUGAUCUUAGGGAGCAGCGUUUUUUUAAGACAAACUAAUCUGAUUCCCCAAUAUUGACAGUAUAACCAAAUAAGGAUAGUGCUUCCAGAGAAAGAAAUAUGUAUUCUACCAACAAGCAAUUUACCUUAUAAUGGUCUUCCAAGCAGCGUUGUAUUUUAGAUCCAAUGAUUUAAUGUUUUCUUGUUUCUCGGACCAAUGUAGAUCAUCAAGAACAACAAACUCCAGUUCCACACUACCUGCACCCAGUAGGGAAAAAACUUAACCCUAAGUUGAAAACCAACUCAUUCCAUGUACUGAUAGACAAAAGGUGGAGAAGUGAAUCCACUGAAAAAAUCAAUGACAAAUUUACAGUGCAAAACCUGAAUCCGCAUUCCCUGUUUCAUCAACAUUUAUGACCUUCGAUUGAAAUUGUAGAUUCACAAUAUUGGCUUUAACCUAAGUUCAGAAGUUCAGGAAUAAUAUUGUUAAAUCUAUAUUUCUCAUCAACAUGGGUAUCAGGUAAAAGUGCAUGUGGGAGAUCAACUGCACUCACACUUUCACAUUGUUGAUGCUCAAUUUUCAAAAUAUCAAAGGUCGGCCAUUCAAGACAAUAAGGCCUCUUUUUCUUAUGAAGGGGUGACCCCUCCAGUCUGAUGCACCUCUGAGAAAAAGUCAGGAUACAACUUUUAUAAUGCAUGUUCCCGUAUUUAACAUAAUAGGGAGCAAGAACCACCACUUUUUCCUGCAAAACAAAACGUUAAAGAUACAUAAAUUAAGAACAAAUGUAUCCCUUGUGUGUGUCUAGAGAGAGAGAUCAUACAUAACGAAGAACAGAUUCACAUACAUACUUGUAAUACUAUAUCAAUUAAGUGAUAUUUCUAUUGUAGAUAACGUAAGGAAAAUAAAAGGAAGACUUGUGGUUUCAAAAUUUCAGUUGUGUAUAUACUCCACAUCCUUUAACUAACAUAAGUUACUUUGCAGCCAUACACUAACACAGUCAUUAUCAUUGGCAUCAUGCUCUGAUGAUUGUUCCUCCAAUGGACCUGAAAAGGAGCCAAGAAACGCAUAAAUUGACAAAAUGGAAACGAGAUCUAAAUAUAUCACCAUAACAACUAUGAAAUUUGUUUCUUAUAUGAUAAGGAAAUAACCAUCAUUAUCUGCUAGAUCGAAAGAAGAACUUAAUCUCAACUCUGUUAUUCUAUCUUCAUCGGAAUCUACAUACAAUGCCUUGUUCUGCAUACAAAAAAAGUAAAAAUGAAUCGCAGUGGGAUAUAUAAAGUCAAUGGAUCGAUCUGUAACGCAAAAAAGAUCUCAGAAGUCAAAUACAUGAAGAGACAAAGUGAGAAUGCUAUUUGAACUGUAUUACAUGCUUCUUGCCAGCUGCGUAGCCUCCUGGUUUUCUUCUUCCUGCUGCGCAGGUUUUUGCUCCAGAUGGCUGACGUUUUGAGAAGGAAAAGGGACGUGAUUCACAGUUCAAAGAACCAGAUGAAAUGCUGAUAUCGGUCCCAGAUAUUCUAUCUUGCAAGUCACAAUCAGUAACAUGAACAUCUGAUUUGCCUUUCCCAGAAUCCUUUUGUUGAGUGGGUCCUUGCGCAACUGUAAAAUUGUUCAUGAAGUAUUCAUCAGAUGGACUAAGCACUACUUUGAACUCGACAGGUGACUAGAAUUCGAGACGAAGUUAACAACCCUCAUUAACAGAGUUGGUAUCUGCCCUUGAUUGUUAGAGUCAAGGUCAGAGGGCCAAAUCUUACCUCUCCCCUACUUUCCCGUUUGUACUAGGAUUUGAAUAUAAAAAAAAUAUUGAUAACAAGUUAUUUGCAAAUAAUCUUAAUAAAUACCCUAUCCCUUCUAGACUUCAUCAUACCAUUUGGCAUCAAGAACUCUCAAUCAUCCAACCUAAACCAUAUAAAUUUCUACAUUGUUUUCGAUUAAGCAAUAUGUAGAGAAAAUAGGGCUUAACUUCUGUCCAGGAGAUAGGAUACAUUCAACUAUCCCCGAAUCUUUUUCACAGUCUUGGUAAGUCUUAUUUAACAAUUUAAAUCAAUAAAACUACAUAGAAUAGCAUAAUCACGUAUCGGUGUCCAACAACCGAAACAAAUUACCAUUCACAGAUUCCACAUAUAGAAGAAACCUUAAUUCGAAUCACCCCUCUAUCAGAAAGUUAAACCAAUUUCGCUCCGAGAGAAACGCACAUCGAGUUUCGAUAAAUAUAAAACCCAAACAUUUUCAAAAACACAAACACCAAAUUCAAAUUCCAACCCAAUUUUUUCGAGUCUCCGGUAAAACAGCAACGAUUUUUUUCACGACGUAACAGUAAGCAAAUCCCCAUCACUAUAACAACAUUAUUGCAAGCAUACAAUUACAAGCAGUGUUCCCAAAGGAUAACAGAAUCACAGAACAAGCAGUAUUCCAUUGUUUAACGUCAAAUAAAACACAAUACUACAACUGAUCAGGGGAUUAUGGACUUACAAAACUCGAGAAAAACGUAUUUAUCAACGGGUUCACGAUUCUGCGCGAGUUUCUUGCCGGGGCUUUUAAUACCGUAUUUGACGAGGGUUUUGCUGGCUUCCUGCUCGACGCGCAAAUCCUCGUCGUUGAAAUCGAACGCCGAGAGUUUAUCGUUGUUGCUACUGCUUCCGCCAUAGCUAUUGCUGCUUGUGGUAUUACCAUCACCGCCGCUGUAAUUUUUGCCCCUGGCGUUUCUUCUCUUCCCCAUUGCGAUCAGUGAAAUUUGAUAAUGGGAAACUUUAAAUUGCUUAUCAGCUUGUAGUGGGAAACUUAUUUGGGGUUUAUUACAUUUGACACCCCCUAAUAUAGUUAUUUACAUUAAUUGACAAAAACAAAUGAGUUAUUUUUAUUACACCUCCGUUUCACACUAACUGUCAAAAAAAAUAUUAUAAAUAAUUGUCACUUUUCACUUUUCACAAAGAUUAAGAAACUCAAUAAAUAUAUAUUGAUUUUAGAAAAAUCAUAUAAAAAUGACUAAAAUAACCUUUAAUAUUUAAUAAUUUAUAUGAGAAAAUUAAUGAAUAGAAUUUCAUUAAUAAGGUUAAAACAGGAAAAAUGUAUUUAAUCCAGUAUUGGAAAUAUAAAGUGACAGAUAAUAUGGAAUAAAAAUAUUUUAAAAAAGAGACAGUUAUUGUGGAACAGAGAGAGUAUUUUAGAAUUUCAAAACCAUAUUAAUUAUACAAUUUUCAAUACCAUAUUAUGACCAUUAGUAGGGCUACCGUAGUUUUAUGACUAUUACUGUGUACUAAGCGUAACUUAAGCUUAUGGUAAUGAAAAAAAUUCAUAUCAUUAAUUAUCAUUAAUUGUUAUUCUUUAUAUGAUACUGGGGUACAUGGUACUCUACCACUUAUAUCAACCAAAGUUGUAAAAUUUUCUUGUCAUAUUAUAUACCAAGGCCUCGUUUGAUUGGGGAGAUUAAACCUGAUUAACUAAAUAAUUAUAUUUUAUUUAUGUUUCGCUUUGGUAGCGUUUUUUCAUAUUAUAUACCAAGGCCUCGUUCUCUAUUUCUCUCUCCUCUCUCUUACGCAUUUUUUUAUAUUAAUUAUCAUAAGAAUGAAGCAAAAAAUCUUUUUAAUUAUCUUAAGAAUGAAAAAAAUUAUUUUAAUUAUUUUUCUCUCGCUAAUUUAUUUUCUUCUUGUCUGGUUCACAACUAAUUAUUUUAAUAUGAUGUAAUUUACUUUUUAAUACAAUUAAAUAAUCAUAUUUAAAAAAAUAAAAAAAAAAAUCUUCCAUUUUGCAAUGUUAUCCUCGUGCAUCACACGGGAAGAAUUGCUCGUUGCGUAUAAAUCAAAUGUUAAAAACCCCCCUAUGCAUCUCACCGAUUGUGCAUCUAAGAGACGCUUGAAUUCCAAAUCUCACAAAAAUCGAUGAUAAUAACAUACACAAACGACGUAAAUUUAGUACAAUUACAAGUUAUAAGGUCACAUUAUAAGGCACAUUUUUAUUUUCAUUUUGAGAGAGAAAAAAAAACUAUGAAUUAACUUAUAUAUAUAUAUAUAGUAAAUUAAAUAAAGGGGGGAUGAAAACCCAUUUCUUCUCAUGAACUGCCUUUCUCCUCUCUUCAGUGACCGUUGGAUGAAGGUAAGCUGCAAGAUCAUACACACUAUCAGAUUGAGGACUCAACAAUAAAUACACCAAAUUAUUAUGAGAGGUUUAGAAUUGAGUUUUACGCCUAUGAAUUUCGAUCGAAAAACAAAGCAAAAGGGGAAAAAAUCGAAAACAAAAAAUUAAAAAAUGAAUAUAUAACACCCAGUUUCACACAUAAGAAUAUUACAAAUACUACUUAAAUACAAAAAUUACAUCAUCCCAAAUUCUAAAUACGAAAGAAUCUCAUAUGAUCUUGGGUUCGGUUGUAGGCCAAUCUCGUAUAAAAAAAUCGAUGUCCAAGUUAGUUUAAUCUCAAAAUGCAAAGUUAGCAAUGGUAACCUAGCCAAGAUAUCAUCGUAUAUCAACUGGAUCAAGGGAUCAUUUGGCUAAACUUAUUCUAACAGCUGAUAAGCUCUUACAUCUGAUAAGUUAUUUUUAUUGAUAAGUUGUUACGUCUUAUUUUUAAAAUUAAUUUUUAAAGUGUUUGGAUAAUGAUGUUAUAAAGUGUUUGGGUAGAGGUAUUUUGUAUAAAAUAUAUAUCUUAUUUACUCUCAAGCAACCUAUUUUUUAUUUAUAAGAUUUUUUUCAGAAAAAACUACCAAACAUUUUGGAAGAGCUUAUAAGCUUUUAAACAACUUAUAAACUCUUUAUAACAGCUUAUAAGCUUAGCCAAACGCCCUCUUAAUUUACGAAUAAUCAUCAGAUUCGAUAUAUGCAUAAAUCAUAUAAUAUAAGCCCUCAAUAUCAGUAGUAAUGUACUCCAUCUGCAAUUCAAGACUAGGUUUAAGUAAUGUUCUUUAGACAUGCAUGCCUGUCGUAAUUAAUAUUAAAAUAAAUUAAUUUAAAGAACGCACACACACAUACAUACAUACAUACAUACAUACAUACAUACAUACAUACAUACGUACAUACAUACAUACAUACCCGAGCCUGAGAGAAGUAUCCGAAAAGCUUUUGUCCGCCUCAAGACAAGGGACUAAGCUUUGACAAAUAGUGAUAGACUCCGCCGAAUUUCCUUGUUCCGUUGUAUUUCUCGUACAUCCAGGUUUCUGCAUCUACAAUUCAUUCACUUAUAUCUAAAUACGUACUAUAUAUAAAAAUCGAGAUUGAUGAAUGCCGAUACAAAAAAAAAAAAAAAAGAAAAAAAAAAAAGGAAACCCUACCUCAACUUGUUGUUUCAACCAUUCAUUUUCUUCCAUUAGUUCUAAUUCCUGCAUUUUUAUUUUUAUUUUGUCAACUUAAUUAAUUAUUUCAAGAAUCGGACAAUUAGUAGAAAUGCGUGAUGAUUUUUUUCAAGAUUUCGAAACUUGCCCUUGUCUUCAUCUUGCUGAUGUCAUUCAAAAGCUUGUCGUUCUAUAUAAGAAGGGAAAGAUUUAAUUAGAAUUUUUGCUAUCGAAUAUUCAGCAGAAUUAAUAAAUAACCGAAAAUUAAAAAAAAAAAUCAGCAAAAAUUAAUAAACCUUAAUUUUCCCGACACGGCUUAAUCCCGCCUCCACUAAUUUCUCUACCUUCAUCAAUUCAUUCAGGCCAAGUUCUUGAAGCUCUUCUCCCAUAAGUUGCCUAAAAAGAAUUUAAAAUUGUUUCGUUUAAUUUGCGAUUUUCUAGUAACUAUUAAAACACGGAAUAAUCCACAUUUUGAUGAAUGUUUAUACGGUGAUCUAUAUAUAUAAUUAUACGUACUUUAGCUCGGUAGUUCGGUCCGCAAGUUCCUUGCUGAGCACUGCAUGGUUGCUACUAGCAGUCUAAAAAAUUAAAUUAAAUUAAAUAAAAUUUAAAUUGUGACCUGCAUGCAAACAUAAGCUCGUUCGUUUUUUUUCUCCAUAUCGAUCAUUUUCGUUACCUGAAUAUGGAGGUGCUGUGUAUUACCGAGUAAUUUAUUGGACUUUUCCGAUUGCACGUUAUGCCUUUGAAUGAGUUCCAUCAUGCUUCAGAAACCACAAGAAAACCAAAUGUGGAUUACGAAUAUUUUAGUAACUUCUAUAUGUUCAACUUCUUGAAAAUAAACGAAAUAAUUGUCAAGCUUUAUUCCAGACCUCGCUAUGAAGAAAAAUUAUAAAAAGUCCUCGUAAUCUUUAAAAAUAAUAAUAAUUAAAAAAAAAAUCAAGACCAGACCUGCCAAAAAUUAUACACGGCUGAGUUCCGAUCCUGAACUCGAGAUCAAGUAAAUUUGGCCUUUUAGGGCUACACACUAAACUCGAUUAUCGUUUAAGAUAUAUCGAAACAUAUGGUCUUUUCUAAAAAUUUAAUACACCACUGUUAUUUCAAAAUAAUAAAAGCAUGUGAAUAACUUAUGUUGGAUAUAUUUAAUUAUUUAUGUAUAUCUGUAUCAUGUAUAUAUGCAUAAUUUUAAUUUUUAAAUCAUAAAAAUAAUCCGACAUGUUUAUUUUGAUUAUAUAUAAAUGAAUCAUUAUAAUUUAUAGAGUAUUAAAUCAAUCUUUUAUAAACUUACUUGUACACUAGAAACUGUUAAAUAAAAUUUUAUUCCAUCCAUAAUCUAAAACACUUGGAAUUAAUCAAUUGUAUUAUAGAGAUUUAAUUAACAUGCAUACAUAAUAUUGUCAUUAACUCUAAAACACCAUUUGUUUUUCCUCAUUAGCAAUACAUAUAACACACAGACACAGACACAAACACAAAAUACAUACACACACAAAAAUAUGAACUGUCACACACAAGUGGAAAUGUAAUAAAAUUAUCCUCAAAUACUCAAAAAAUAUUCAUUUAUUUUUCCUUUCUUACUAAUUUUCUGGAAAAUAAAAGAAAAUGAGGCCCCCUUAAUAAAUUAUGUUGAAGAUGAGAAGACAGAAGGUACGAAAUAGCAGGUAAGAGGACAGUGACUUGGGACCUCAACUACACCAUAAAAUCACACACAACAAUUACUCAGAAUAUAAUUUAAUUGAUUUGAUAAGAAAUAAAAAUUAAAAAUUAAAAAUUAAGAAAAAAAAAGAGUAUUUUUUUCCUCCCCAAUAAGCAUAAAUCAAGAUUCUUUUUUUGGAAAAAACACAAAUCGAGGCUACGUUUCAUAUACAGUACAGACAUAUAUAUACAUAUUUCUUCCCAUAUAUAUUAAAAGAUCAAGAUUACAUUACAUUUUUUUUCUUUUUGGUUCUUGAAUUUAUAAUCGUACGCAGGCAAGGCAACAUCAUAUGAUAAUGGAUAAGAGAUGAGAGAGAGAGAGAGAGAGAGAGAGAGAGAGAGAGAGAGAGAGAGAGAGAGAGAGAGAGAGAGAGGACCUUGAGCUGGAAUAGUCAAAGAGUUUGCCGGUGGCGGAGAAAACGAUGAGGGCAAUAUCGGCAUCGCAGAGAGUGGAGAGUUCUUGAGCUUUCUUGAAAAGCCCUCUUCUCCUCUUUGAAAAGGUCACUUGCCUCGCUGUCAAGUUAUCUAUCUUCUUGAUCUGAAUCUUUUGCCUCACCAUUUCUUCAACACCCACCACCACAACACUGCAACUUGUAAAAAACCCACCACUAUUAUUAUUAUUAUAGAGAGAAAGAUAGAGAGAGAUAGAUAGAGAGAGAGAGAGAGAGAGAGAUUUGAGAUAUGGGUUUUUGAUAAAAUUAAACAAAACAAUAUAUCUUCAAGUACAAAACGCACAAUCUCAGAGCAGAAGAAACCCUUCUUCCCAAAAAAAAGGAAUCAAAGAAACCAAAACCAAGAAAGAAUCUUUUUCUAAAAAUUAGAAAUGGCAGUGAGGGGGUGGGGGGUGGGGGGUCUGGGGAGGGGUAGAACUUAGAAGAGGAUAAUAAAUACUAAUUAUACAUAAAAACAAAGCUUUAUAAACUGGGUUUCAUUUUGCUACUUCGGGGAAGAAAUGACAUCACUGCCUGCAGAAGAGAGAGAGAGAGAGAAAAGCCAACCCUAGAGAGAGAAAGCAAGACACACAAAUCUGAGCUGCAGCACAUAAAAAUGAGCUAAAAGCAGCAAUUGGGAAAUUGCCUAUUGGGGGUGGGGGUGGGGGGGGCGGGGGGGGGGGCAGGGGGUGAGGCUGACUGGUAUAUAAAUAAAUAAAUAAAAAUAGAGUUCAAUUUCUUGAAAUUGCCUUUCUGGGACUUCGAUAAGAGAGCUUUAUUUUUCCUCCAAUUAGGACUUUCCUUUUGAGGAGCUACAAUUAAAAUUAAAAAAAAUUAAAAGAGAAUAGCACCCAAGUGGUAACCCUUGACAUUUUAUUUUAUUAUUAUAUAUAUAUAUAAUAUAGAAAUAGGGUAACCAUUGCCACUUGAAUACAUGCAUGGGUUAUUUCUCGAGCGAGAGAAAUGGGUUAUUUGACUACGGACCGAUUUAACCCGUGACUAGACUCGGAAUCAGUAUGUUGACCAUAGAUAUUCGUUGACCUUGAUUCUUGAAUCGGUUUGUGAGUGGUCAUGCAUUACAUGGACCGGUUACUUUUAUGCUACAUUCGGUGUAGGCUGAUCUACACACAUCAAUGUGUGUGUGUUUGUUGUGUGUAUAUAAAUGGUAAAGAUUUACGAUGUGUUUCAUCGGUUAGUAUAACAUAUUAUAAACUGAUUCAUUAACUGUCCCGAGAAAUGCUGCGACUCUCCUAGCCAUUUACCGUAUGUGUGUGUGUUUGUUGUGUGUAUAUAAAUGGUAAAGAUCUACGAUGUGUUCAUCGGUUAGUAUAGCAUAUUAUAAACUGAUUCAUUAACUGUCCCGAGAAAUACGACUCUCCUAACCAGUUACCGUUCAUUAUAUUACAAUAUAAUUAUGGAGCCGAUGAUUCUACCCUCCUGAUGUCUCGAACCCAUGACCAAUUAGAUUAUUGGUGUAAGGUACUUACCAACAGGUUACUGUGUGUUGACAUUUUUGCAAUUCAAAAAUGUAAUAAACUUAAACUUCGUGUCUGUAUUUUUCAACUUCUACAUUAAACCUCUCGAAACCGGGACCGGCCAUGUAAGUACUGAAUUACUAAUACGUUUUUGGCUCGACUUUAACAAUUCAUUAUGAAAUGUCAACGAGAAAGAUCAUUAAUGGUAAAUUAAAUAUUGGUGUACCUAUUUGGGCCGUCCCGAUAACUCAUCAAUUAUUCUUAACAUCGGACCACAAAAUGAGGGCCCAAACGCAUAAUUCAUGUAAUUAAUGGACUACAGUAAUCUCGUAAAAUUAACGAUAAAGCCCACUAGGUCAUUAAUCUAAGUUAUUGUUAUUAUGCUAUUUUUCAUCCGAUUGAGUUUUGUGAGAUUCUUUGAAUUCGUCGUACAUAUCAGCUAACUAUAACUUGAUAGGGAUUUCAACCGAAUCAACCUUUAGUUUACAUAUGCUUAUCUCCCAGGCUUACGAAUUCAAAUAAGGACUUCUGCAUAGGAUUUCAAGUAAGAGCCACAACUGAAGACUUCGUUUAAAGACUUCAACUUUCGACAACUUUCUAGGUAAUUACGCAUUCAAUAUCGCCUGCUUGUGCGCAGUGAACCAACGAUUUACAUUCCCCAUUAGUUAUCCUAGUUAAUUAAUUGAUACAACGUCAAACAUAACCAUAUAUAUGAUCAAAUUAUAUCUCAAAACGACUUUGAUCGAUUUUAAAGUAAUAUAAGACUCUGCAAUUUUACGAUAAGUCGGCUAUUUUAAGAUGACGUGGAGAAGCAACAUACAACCAAUUAAGUAAAGAUUAACUCAAAGGCUUUAAGGGCAGAAAAGUAGUUUCACUCAGAAGUAUAAAUUCAAUUUCAAACUCUGAAUAUCUCUUUUCUUAUAUAUUCUAAAACAAAAAUCUUUUAAGAUUAAACAUUUUAUUGGUUUCUAUUUUAUUAUAAUAUAUGUAUGUGUAAAUUGUAAUUGAGUUGUUUCCACUAGGCCGUACGGAAAAGGGAUGUGGUGGGGGCGCGUGACAGCGGAUAAAAACUGUGGGUGGAUAAUUGUGUUUUGUUUGUUUUCCCCACUGUCUUCAAUUCUUGUACGGACACAACCAAUUUGUGGACUACGAUUUUGGGAAUUAUUCCCCCCCUUUUUUUUUUCUUUUUUAAUUUAUGUUUCACUUAUUACAAAAUCUCUGCAAGAAUAUCUAUUGCGUAUUUUCAUACACCAACUUUAUUACAUUACCUACUAAUUUCUAUUCAAACUAUACAUUUUAUUACUACAAAUUCUAAUUAUAAAUAGAGUAAAUAGCAUUUCAAAUGACUCCUUAUCUUUUUAGUGUAAGCACAAAACCCAUUCGUGGUUGAUGGAGGUAAAUUUCCGUUACUUUUUUUUGUCAGAUUUAAACGCCAGUGUCAAAUGUCAAGGUGAUUAUUUUCGCAGACGACCCCCUUGAAAUUUGACUCGCACGGUUAAAAAUAUUACGAGAACAGGGGGGUCAUCUGCAAAAGCUUGGAACUAGAGGCUUUAAGUGCUAUUUACUAUUAUAAAUAUUAUAGGCACUACAAGGUUUGUGCCUAGGCCCCAUACGGUUCGACCGAGUUAAAUGUCUGCAUACUCAUAAGUUGGGCCUCGGCCCGAUUCUCCAGCUGUGCUAUUUUAUUUUAUUUUUUUUAAUUAAUUUCGAACGAAUCAAAAAUGAAUUAAAUUUAAAAAAAAAGAAAUCCAAAGGUAAUGCAGGGACGUGUAUCCGAUAAAAUUUUGUAUUUUACUGGGCAAAUUACGGCACCUUCCUAAGCUAAGAUCAAAUUAAACGAAAAAACUCAUCUUCUCUAGGUAAUUACAAUCACCUCAUCAGCUAUGUAUUAUCUUACAAUUUAAUAGGUAAAUUUGGCAUUGUAAAAGUGGACGUGUAAGACAAUACAUAAUUAAGGGAGCAUGAUUGUAACCAUCCAAACAUAAGGAUUUUUUCGUAAUUUAAUUUUGUCUCAGAGAGUUGAUUGUAAUUUGCCCUAAUUUAUUUAUGGACUUUUGUGGGCCUAUUCGUUGCUAUAUUUUGGGCCUCUUUAGAUUAUAAGGGCCUAUCAUUCAUCAAUUCCUCAUUAAUGUGACACGAUUUAGUAUAUGGAAUCCUUACAACUUUUCUUCUUCCUAAAAUUAGAAUUUUAAAAUAAUAAAAUUGAUUUAAAAAGAUUUAUUUAAUUAUUGAAAGGGUAUAAUAAGUUUUUCUCAAAAAAAAAAAAAAAAAAAAAAUAGGUGGGGGGAAAUGUUCCAUUUGUUACUUCAAAAGGGUAAGUGAUAUUUUAGAGGUGUAAAUUCUAUUUAAUCGUGAAGCUUUAUUAUUGGUGUCAAUUUAUAUUUACAUUUAGUGAUUAAUUAGAAAUUUAACUUAGUGAUUUCUAUUAAUUUGUAUUCAUGAUCUAAAAUAUUUAUAGUUAAAACUUCUAUAAAUUAAACCAUCAAGAUGUUAGUUAUUAAUUUAGUAAAUAUUAAUUUAUGGAUUAAUAAUGAUUAAUUAAUUGUAGUUAGUUUAUUAAACAAGAGGAAAAGUCGCAAGAAAGUCAAAUGGUAGUUCCAUGAAACGUGUUAAAUGCAAAACGUUCAAUACUGCGUGUCACUCUUUAUUUUCCGACGUCACUAUCUCAGAAAACGAUUUAUCGGUGGUGAUGCUUACACAUAUACAUACAUACACACCCCUGGGGUGAAAUUCCAUUAUUACCCUCGGCAUCCCUCACAAAGCGCAGGCCCUUUUCCGUAAUAUACCAGGCUAACCCCACCCACCUCCCCCAAAUUCCACUGCCCUUGUUGCUCUUCAGUCUGGAAGUAAAUGGAUAAUCACUUUGUUUACCAAGGAAACCGGAUGGAGCACCCAUUUUUCACGGCGGCCGCCACCCGCACGGAGGCGCUGCGGUGGCUGACCAUCGCGGAGCAGCUGCUGUCGGCGCGUGACCUGCUCGGGAGCAAGUCGUUCGCCACGCGCGCCCGCGACUCCGAACCCGCGCUCGCCCACACCGCCGACGAGAUUCUCGCCGUCGCCGACACGCUCAUCGCCGGAGAUAGGAGGGUCUCGAGCAACCAGCACGACUGGUACGCGAUCCUCCGCCUCACGCCGCAGCAGGGCCGCGACGCCGCGCUCGUCGACGACCAGUACCGCAGCCUCGCCCUCAUCCUAAACCCUAGGAAAAACAGAUUCCCCUUCGCCGAACAAGCUUUCCACCUCGUCGUCAAUGCCUGGUCUUUUCUCUCCGACCCUUCCAGGAAAUCCUUGUACGACACAGAGCUUAUUUUCGGUCCGUCGCCGCCGCCACCGCCGCCGCAGCAGCAGCAUCAACCGAACCCCUAUAGUGACCCCAUUCCAACAUUGCAGCAGAACUUCAAUUUCUUCGGCGGUGGUGCUUCGAGCAACACCACCCAGCCGCCGCCGUCGCAUUCCUUUCCCCAAGUUCAACAGGUACAUGCUUUCACACAAGUCGGACCCGCAAUUAGCGGGUCAACCCACCCGCCCCGAGAACCCCAAAAUUUCAUGAGCUUCCCUUCGGGUACCAAUUUCGUUUUCGGGUCCGGGUCUGUUUCUCAUCCUAAAUCGGACCCUGCACCUCUCAAUAAUCAUGCACAAGGAAGCUAUUAUGCACCUUUCACUAGUCAUGUAGCUUCUGCUUCUGCUUCUGCUUCUGCUUCUGCUUCUGAGCCAAACCAGGAGCAAUUGAACAAUCAACAGAAACAACCCCAAGAAAACCACUCAAAUGUUAGUGAUAAUAAAACUAUUCAUAACGAAAACCCGAUUGAGAAUGUUGGAUUGACAAUCGAGGAUGAGGUAGAUGUGGAAACAAUGGAUGAGGGCGAAGAAUUGGAGGAGGAGGAGGAGGUGGGGAGAUUCGAUUCACCGGCAAACGAGGAGGAGGUGGAGAUAUCCGAUUCACCGGCGAAUGAGGAGGAGGGGUCGACUUUCUGGACCGCCUGUCCUUAUUGCUAUUACAUGUAUGAAUAUCCUGUGGUAUAUACCGACUGUACUUUGAGGUGUCAAAAUUGCAAGAGUGCGUUUCAGGCGGUGGUGAUACCUUCACCACCGCCCGUUGUGGAUGGCCAAGAUGGGUAUUUUUGCUGCUGGGCGUUUUUCCCGUUGGGUUAUUCGAUGGAGAAUUGGGAGAAAAACAAGGGUGGUUCUUCAUCUUGGACGCCAUUCUCACCCAUGUUCACUUCCCCCCAGAAUGGUAAGAAGAAACCGGCUCCUCCUAGGGUUUAUAUCGACGACGAUGAUGCUUUUCUUGAAAUUUCCUCUUCGAGCGAAUCCGAUGAUGAUGACUGGCGCAACGGUAAAGGCAAGAAAGGUAAGAAAAAGGCCAAACGUGUGCCGAAUAGAAAUGUGAAGAUUGCCGAUAAAGGUAAGAAUACGAAAGCGCAAGAUGAGCAUGUUGAGUCUUCGGACAGGGCGGAGAUUCCCGUUAAGGCGGCGUUUGAGUCCAGGAAGCAACCUGGUAGGGUUGUAAAGAGUUCCGGGAAGUUGGAUUUGAAUGUGGAGUUCUGUAAUGAAGCUGAAGAAUCUGCUCCGAGGAAGAAAGAAGGGAACGGGCCGGGCCAUGGCGUGGAAGAUAAUAUUGAAGGGAUCGGUUUCUUUGAGGGUCUUGAUGAAUUUCUUAGCAGUCUUCCGAUUCUUAACGCUGUAGGUGAUGACAAGGCCGUCAAGGCGGCUUGAUCGAAAAAAAUAAAAAAAAAAAGUAAGACCCCCUUUUUUGUGUCUUUUUUGAGCUUUCCGAGGCUGGUUAAUGUAGUAAAAAAACUUAAUCGUUUGACGUGAUUUUUGGCUUAUUGUAGUAAAUUAUGUAGAUUUAAGCUGGAUAUUAUGUUAUUAUGUUAGAACAGCUUGUUUUUUUUGUCUGGUUUGAGUGCAUAUAUAUUCUUGCAUGUGCUUUUUAAUUUGUUCGAUAAUUUGCCGGUUGUGUGGUUGAGAUUACUUCCACAUUAAAUGAGCUUAACAGAAUCGACGAGAAGGUAUUACGAUGCUUCUAUGAUUACGUUUUUAGUUGCUAUGAGUGAUACUUGAUGUUUGGUGCAGUUAUAUGGUAAGUUGUAGUGAUUUUGAAAUCGAACCAAGUCUUUGUCGUUGUGUGGUUUUACAAGUUAGGAUACGUGCUUCUUUGUGCGCAUUUAUUCCGUUUUCUGGCAAUACAUUUUUUUUACUAUAACUAGAGCAAUAAUUAUUGUUAUACGUCGAUUAACGGGUGAGUGAUGUUGCCGUUACUUCAAUGCGAAAAUCGGGUGCUUGAUGUUUUAUGUAAUUAUAUGUUCGUCCUUUCUAUCUUGAUCAUCUGUGAUUUAUUAUGUUUCUUUUAAAGUUCUUACUUGUACAUUAUGCUUGUGUUUUUUCAUCGCAAUAUUAAACGGUUGAACUCUCUCGGUUUCCUAGAUGCUGCACCCGGUGAAAUACACCGAGGAGCUUUCUAGAUUUGAUUUACCCAAAAUGUGCAACACAACACACACACUGUUGGAAAUUUUAUUUAUUAAAAUAAAAUUAUUUUUUGAAUGAAAAUAAAAAAAUAUUUUUUGGCACAUAUUUGAUCAAAUAUGUCUGACAAUAUGAAGAGGUGUGCCUCUUCACUUAUUUAAUUUUCUAAGGGUUGUGUUCAUGAAUCACAACUAUUGGAAACUUAUAAAUAGAAAUUCCACAUGUUUGAUUUAAUAACAACAUAAAAAUUAAUUCAAUUAUAUAAUUUUGUUCUAUGGAAUUCUUCUUCCUUUCGCCUGGAAAUAUUCUUCGUAGAAUAUUUUUUUUCAUAUUCGAUUCGAGAGUUUGAGAUACAAAGUAACGUUCGUUGUACUCGGGAUUUUGAGUGCUCAUAUGCCGAGUUAGCCGUUGUAUCUUGGGAGACCAUUGCCAAAUAACCGUAAGCACCGUAACGGGACAAUAUUGUCUUAAGGAAAGAGUAUUCUCGCCUCGGCUAAUCUUUUCGUAUUUCAACUAAUCUAUUUCAUCAUUUUACUAAAUCACUACCUGUUUUAUGUAUCGGGAACAACAAUCUUAAGACAAUAAUUUUGUGUGAUUUAGUAAAUUGUGUUUUCUACACACCUUGGUAAACGAGAUGUAGAAGAAGAUAGUCCAAAAAUCAAGAAGUUACAAAGUCAAAUUGGAGAAAAAAAAUCAUUUUCGGGCAGAACAUGAAGUCCACGUUCCUUCCCAUUUUCGAAGUUGUUAAAGUCCGAAUAUGGAAAAUUAACAUUUCACAAAAGUUGUAGAUAAUCAAGUUGGCUUUUCAGAACAUGUUAAAUCUUCACAAUCGGAGAUCUUACGGAAGAGUUAUGAUAAAAACACGAAAGAGUGCCAAAACUGUCAAUGCACCUUUUCAUGUAAAAUACAACCGUUCGUGACCAAUGCAACUUAUCGCAUAUUAAACGUCUCACCAAUGUCCAAUGCACGAAAUUUUGGUGAAAGAAGACGGAAUCGAAGAAUAAUGAUGAGGUUAUAUAUUAUUUUGCGAUUCAUGAAUAUUAUUUAAUAAUUUUUGUGGUUCCAUUGUAGGUGCAUUUUUACAGCACACUUAUUCCGACUUCGAGGAUUAAUUUGAUCAUGAUCCAGUCCUAAUCUCAUAAAACGUGAAACAUAAAAGUUGUAGACAAUUUUGUUGGCUAUUCGGAUCAUAUUGAAUCAACAAAAUCGGGCUUCAGACGGAGGAGAUAUGAAUAAAUCAUUCAGCACUGCCAUAAUAUUGACACGAUUUGGUGCUACCCACGAAAUUUUGAAUUGACGAACAUAAAAUUUAUCGGAUAUGCUUUCUAAUUAUAAGAUAUCUAAUUUGUGCAAUAAAUUGAUAGUGUUAUACGAUAUGAUGGUGGAUUAUUGCAUGAUAGUUUAAUUUUCAUGUGUGGAAGCAUAGUAAACCAUAUACGAUAUAUAUGCUUUAAUGAAUAUUCAUUAUGUUUGUGUAUCUACGUUAAUGAUACAUAUGAUUUUAUCCUAAAUGCAAUAAAGUGAUAGCGUAUAUGUUAAUUAUUUGAAUAAGUUUAUCAUAAACCGCAUGAUAUGUGCUAUACUACAUGACAUUUCUCAUGAAAAUGCAAUAUUUAUUUGUAUAAAUUGCAUAUAGUUUGAUACGGGAUUAGCUUUCUCCAAUUUUCAUUUGACGUGGAACCGUCGAGUUGUUUGAUUUUGAAUAUGUUAUAUGAAAUUUGUGGGUAUGUGAUCUUAUUAUCAACGUUUUUAUUAUUGUCUAUGAACGAUUAGACUUAUCUCGUAUAUUAAGUAUGAGUUACUUAGUAAGAGGAAUAUUAUUAUACACAUAUUAUUAUUUGCGUAAAUUCCCAUCUUCAAUAUGUAAAUUUAAGACCGUAAUAGUGAACAUGUAAAACAAUACAUAGUUCAUAGUUGAUCUUUUUUGUUAUUUAACCAUAAAUCAUGGGUGAACCGUGACCGUAAUUUGCCCAAAAGAUUAAGAUAUAUGUUUUUAACUUGUAAAAUAAUAAACGAUAAAUUACAACUACCCUCGGAGUUAUGGUCAAAUUAUGAAAAACUCCUCUUGUUUGGAUAUUUACAUCGACCCCCUCAACUAUGAAUCUUCUUACACCUCCAUCCUUAUGGUGUCAAAUUCAACACAAUCAUCUAGAUUAUGUGUAAUGUGUUCUAGUUUGUACUCGUUUUAUGUUAAAAUACAGUUUUCUAAUGCACCACAAUCUGAUAUAUACAAGCCAAAAAACACAUCUUAUGAUCAUAUAGCUUCAAAACGGAGAGCUCGAAUGGGAUAAAACUGGUACAAAACUGAUAAUAUUCCACAUAAUCAAGAAGAUUCCACUAAAUUUGAAACCGCAAGGGUGAACGUGUAAAAAAAUUUAUAGUUGAUGGGAGUUAUUAUAAGGGUAAACUUCAUUUUACCUACCUGAACUAUACCCAACUUAUAAAAUACCCCCUCGAACUUUAAAACGUACCGAAUCAGCCCCUCCCAAUAAUCGGUCAACGUUAAAAUACACAGAUUAAUUGACAUCGUUACUUUCGACUGUGCAAUUACUUUUAUAUCCUCCAUUAACUAAUCUUACUGAUGUAAUCUGCUUCCCUCAACACUUGUCAAAAAAACGCAAAAAAAAAAAAAAAAAAAAAUCUCACAUUUUCAAUUAAAACCCUAAAAUUCCUCUUCACCCACCUCUCUGAUUUCAACUUUCAGCUCUCUUAUCUCACCCUUCUUCUGUUAAUAAUUAAACAUUUUUAGAAGCCUUCCAAAUCCUUGUACUGAAACCCAUCCAAAAUAAGUUGUCGUUUGAAAGAAAUCGCGAAUCGUUGGAGCUACUUCAAAGAAACACUUGAUUUGUUGGAGUUCGUUGGCGUUUUACAGAAGUCGCAUUCGUUUGAAGCAGUUGGGGCUGAUUUAAGCUACGAAUCGCAUAGAAAUGUAUUGGAGGAUUUGUUUUGAGAAAGUGAAUCGAAUUCGUUUCAAUUUGGUCGAAAUUAUAACAUUUUGAAUUAGGGUUUUUAAUUUUAGGAUAAUUUCAGGGGUUGGAAUUAGGAAUUUCAAUUUGGGGAUAUCUUGUUAAUUCGAUCUAGGAUUAACAAUUGCGAUUUUCAUAUUUCGAAUUAGUCUUUUCAAUUUGGGGAUAAUUUCAGGGGUGAAUAAGGGAUUUCAAUUUUGGGAUAUCUACUUAAUUCGAAUUUGGGUUUUUUUUUCUAUAUUUGUUUCAACUAUGUGACAUCACCUAUGCAUUUCUGUAUUAUUGAUUUUUUUUUUUUUUUUUUUUUUGUAUUGUAGGGAAUAUGUCAGAUCAACUAUUUACUAUCAAAAUCAAUUAUGGAGGGAUGUUUAUUGAUAGAGGGGUUGAUUAUGUUGGGGGGUCAGUUUGUUGUUUGAAAGAUAUUGAUCCUGAUGGCUGAUGUGAUGUCAUAUAUAGAGAUAAUUGGGUAUGUUCAAGAAAUAGAAUAUCUUGCUAGUACACUUAUAUGGUAUAAUGAUCCUGUAGCACUUGGUUUGCAAAUUCUUGUUGCUGAUAGUGGUGUGAUGGAAUUGUUCAAAUCAUAUGCUGAUACAAACAACUUUAUUAUUGAUUUGUUCAUUGAAGCUUGUGAUUUAGAUGAAACUGAGGUAGAGUUAGACGACUUGGGGGAGAGAAAUAACGAUCACAUGGGGGAGGGAGGUAACAAGGAUUAUGUGGAGGGAAAUAACAGUGAUAGCAGUGAUUCCAACUAUGCACCAAUAACAGGUAGUGAGUCUGAUGAUGAUUCAUUGUCUGAUUUCAAUUAUUUUGUUGAGAGGUGAUACAUUAAGUGAUGGUCGAAAUCCAGUAGGUAAUGACGGGCUUGAAAUUAAUACAAAAAGUGAAGUGAUUAACAUUGAUGAAGCAUUUCAUGCAGAAGAAAAUGAAAUUCAAAGUGAUCCUGAAUUUUUAUCUGAACCCAGUGAGUCUAAUGAUGAGAGAGGAGAGAUAUUUCCCUAUUUUGAUAAAAAAUCAGAAAUGAAACAACCAAAUCUUCAAGUAGGGCUUAUAUUUGGCAAUUCUUCACUUUUUAGAAAAGCCCUUAGGCAGUAUUCAGUUAGGAAAGGGUUUCAAUUGAGUUUUGAUAAAAAUGAAAGAAGAAGAAUCACUGCAGUUUGCAAAAAUAAAUGUGGUUGCAAAAAUAAAGGGUUCUCAACGACUUAUUGUACAUAAACACAUCACAUUCUAGUUUUUUUGUUUUUGACUUUAAACUGCUUUAACUUCAACUUCAAUUCCUUGUUGGCUCUUGUCAUAUUUAGAGCUAUUUCAUGAAGUUCUUGAUUGUGAGCUUUCAGUUCUUAUUUCUCUGUAUCCAUUAUCUUCAUCUUCUCUUUAUUUUGCUCCAAGAGUCUCUCAAAUCCUUGUCCAAUUUCCAUUCAUUUGGGGCAAAUUCCAGACUCAAUCCAUUAAAAAAAGUUGCAACCAUUUGGUUUCUGUUAUAUAUGUACAGUUUAUAUCUAAAUAUGCAUUCAUUAUUAAAUUUGAAUUCAAAUGAAUGUAAAACAUACUUACAUCCCAAUUUUGGCAGCCUGCAAAAUUUCUUCUGGGAUUUUGACUUGUCCUAGCAGUUCGAAUGGCAGCUGUUUUUUGGCAUUUGCAUGUUGUUUGUGAAAAUCUAGCAACAUAAUACUUGGAUUUGUAACAAAAAACACAAGAAUCUCAUGCGUUUGUGCUACUGCUAGACAUUUUCCCUUGAUAUAGAAUAUGAAAUUAUUUUUGUGUUACUAAAAAAGGGUAAUUAUUAUGUAUAAAAAAUGGAAUUUCGAGUUAAAUAAGCAAAUUUAAAACAUUGUCAUGAAAAUUUAAAUGGGAUUUGCACAAACACACAAAUUCAAAUGAAAUUAUUUUGUGCAAAUAAACGGAAUUUGCACACCAUUUUAGGGAGAAAAAAAAAAUUUAAGAAUUUUCGUGAAAUUUUUGAGCAACUAAAAAAAGGAGAAAAUAAAAUAAAAAAAAAAAGAGAAGAAAAAAAGAAUUUAAGAAUUUUCGUGAAAAUUUUGAGCAAGUAAUAAGAAAAGGAGAAAAAAAAAUUAAAAAAAAAAAAAAGAGAAGAAAAAAAGAUGCAUGAUCUGUGAAGAAAAGGAAAAAAAAAACUGGGAAGAAAAGCAUCCAAUUAGCCAUCAAAUGUAUAAGUGUAUUGGGGGUAAAAUCGUCGGAGAAAAGUCCAACGGUCAUGCCAACGGAUACAAUUAAAAAGGUCAAAGUGCCAUGUUAGGAGAUGUGGACGGAAUUUUAACGGAGGGGCUGAUUCGGUACGUUUUGAAGUUGAGGGGGGUAUUUUAUACGUUGAGUAUAGUUCAGGUAGGCAAAAUGAAGUUUAUCCUUAUUAUAAUUACUCAAACAAAAUGGGGUUUUCGUAAUUAUAUCAUACCUCAUGGGUUGUUGUAAUUUAAAAUAAGGAAUAUAUGUUCAGAAUUUGAUUAUUUGAAUUUUGAACCCUAUACAAUAUAAAUGUCUCGAGACCCGUUUACGCAUCCGGCCCGGAAACCCAUUAGCCGUUCCUACCCGUUUUACGGGGCCCGAGCCCGAGUCCAACAAGAAAGAAGUGGCCUUUACUAAAUCCCAAGGGUCGUUUCACUUUGAGAUUCAGAUUUGACAUAUAUUCCAAUUCACUACUGCUCUCUCUCUCUCUCUCUCUCUCACACACACUUUUCUUGUAAUAAAUAAUAAAUAAUAACUACUAAUAAUAAUCUUGAUUUUCUACAAGCCACUCGAUUUAUUGUCUACGUGCAUUAAAAAAAUUACUGCAUCAUCGUUUUCUCCGUCUUUCUUGGAGAAAAACAGGUGUACUUCGAUCCCACCCACCGCUAAAUUAUAUUUUGCGAAUUAAGACAAACAACAACACCCAUCAUAAACCCAACUCAUUUCUUUUCUGAUUCAUCACAAUUUUCCUUCAAAUUCGUAGAUUUUAUUAAUUACAACAAUGGCCCAGGCUGUUUUUCAAUCCUCGUAUCUCUCUCGCUCCGAUUUCUCCAAGAAUUCAUCUAAAUCUUCCAUUGUGAGCUCUCUUUCCUCUCCCUCUCUCUCUCUCUUUUUUUGUAUGUUGGUUUUUCUUUUUGUGAUUGUUUCUUGAUUUUAUUUUUUUGUUUUUUUGGUGUAAUUUCUGGAAGAUCUUCGGCUCCCAGUUGAGAUCGCCGACAAUGGAGAAAACCCAGUUGAGAACUUUGGAUUCGGUCAAGUAAGUGGUUCGAAAUUUCCAGCUAAUCUUGUGUCCUGUGUUUUCAUUUGUGUAAUGAUCAAAGAUGUUUGUGUUGUGAUUUUUGUUGCAUUGAAUUCAUGGUGUUUGAUGAAAUGUCUGUGUUACAAAGAUUCUACUUCGCAUGUGUUGCAAUCUUGAAAUUGACAUGUAGGACACUCGAAUUCGAGUUCUGUUUUAUUUACUACAGAGUUCGUAGAAUUCGUUUACGAAACUGAUGAUCAAUAGGUUGAAUUCAGUCGUUCGGUGCGUAAUUAAACUGCAGCUAUAAAUGCUCGUUCAAAAACUAGAGAGUUCCUUCGCCCGAUAGACAGAAAAACUAAUUAAGUAAAUAAAAUCUUAUUCGAAUCCCUAAUUCUUGCACAUCGGGUUUCUAAUUACAUUGUUUGAUGGUGGUUUAUAGGACCCUACUUACUUUUUAAGAUUAAAGACUUCCAUUCCAACACUCAAGGUUGAUCCAGAGAGAUAAGCAUGCUUAUUUUAAUUUUUUUUUGUUUUUAAAUAAACAGUACACGCUUCUCGAUGAAUUUGCGUAAUUAUACUGAUAUUGAUACAUUCUCUCUUACAUGUUGUGCGCUUGCCCCCUGUAAUGGAUACAGAACAAAAUCAACUGUACGAUUAAAGGCUGUAAUGGAGUCUCCAGGCCUAACUCAAGAGGUCGUAGAAAACGAGCCUAAAGUCGGUGGGGUGACUAACGAGGCUGCCAAUCAUUUCAAGGAGUUGAAGCAUAGGUUUCUCGGUUUCAAAAAGGAUAAAUACUUGUAAGAAUUUUUGUAAGUUUGUCUGAUUUAAUAGUAUUAUUAAGCGAAGACGAGCCUUUGUUUAUACAUUUUUCGGAUUGUUUAGGAGCAACUUAGAACGCUACCAACAGCUUUCCGAGGCCCAAUACCCAAAGGUAAUUUUAUUUUGGUACUUUUUUUUUUUUAAUUUAUUAUAUUUUUUUUAAUAUUUCGAAGUCUCGAUCAUGAUUAGUAGAAAUUUUGAGAAAUUUGACAUUUCUAAAGUACAGUUUAUGGUGAUUGCGUGUGCUGACUCGAGAGUUUGUCCCUCGAGUGUACUAGGAUUUCAACCAGGGGAAGCCUUUGUGGUUCGAAACGUGGCCAAUUUAGUGCCCCCACACGAGGUAUAUUACUUAAAAACCGCAGCUCGGGUUGUAAUGAAAUUUGAAACAUAUGAUUUUUGUACAUCACACCAUCGUGUUCCGUUGAUGCAGAAUGGACCUACGGAAACAAAUGCUGCUCUCGAGUUUGCUGUAAAUUCUCUUGAAGUAAGCAUAUUUUCUUGUCGAAAGUUAAAAAAGAAGUUCCUCAUUAUGUCAAUCUCGCGAACUCGUCUUUUCGUUUUUACUUAAUACAGAGAGCUACACGGAACAAAUGUUUUCUUUUUUCGAUACACUUUUUUUUCGAUUUAGCAGUAUAUGUAAAUAUAUGUAAUAUAUAUUUGUGCAGGUCGAAAAUAUACUCGUCGUUGGCCACAGCUGCUGUGGAGGAAUCAAAGCCUUGAUGAGCUUGCAAGAUGAAGUGAUUUCAAGGUUUGAUUAAGGGAAUUGCUUUUUGCGGUUUGAAAAUUGCUAUUUGCGGUUUAUAACAAAAUUCCCAAAACAAACAUUUUAUUUCACUAAAACCCCAAAACUUCCCAAAAAAAUCCAAACCCCCCCCCCAAACGCGUAAAAGCCCAACUUGGGCGCCCAUUCAUGCAGUGCACGCCCAAGUUGGGCGUGCAAGCUGCAUUUGGGCGCCCGAGUUGAGCGUCCAGUGCAAAAAAAAAAAAUUCUAAAUGUUCGAACGCCCAAGAUGGGCGUUCGAAUAUUUUUUUGCGAAAAAAAAAAGCCCUAUAAAUCGAUUUAUAGGGAUUUUUAACAUGAAAUUGGUUCCGUAAUCGACCUACCCAAUGCAUAUUACUCACAAAAGAGUCGAAAUUACAUCAAAAAAUCGAAGCCCAACCCUUCUUCAAGCUUGAUUUCGAAUUUUCGAUUUUUUUUUUUUUUUGCUAUUUGCAGUUUUGGGGGGGUUUUGGAUAUUUUUAAAAGUUUUGGGGGUUUUGUUAUAAACCGCGAAUAGCAAUUUUGUGACCGCAAAUAGCAUUUCAUUUGAUUAAAUAUAAAUAUAUGUGUGUGUGUGUGUGUGUGUGUGUGUGUGUCUCACUACGGUAUUUAUAUUUUUCAGUAGCUUCAUAAGAAGCUGGGUGGUUGUUGGAAGCCCCGCGAAGUCGAAAACGAAAGCUGCUGCUUCAAACCUCAACUUUGAUCAGCAGUGCAAGCACUGUGAAAAGGUUUGUUCGCAGUGUGUGUGUGUGUUUCUAUCACAUAAAUUCUUACGUAAAUUCAAAAAAAAAAAAAAAGGAACCUAGGACGAGGUGUUGAUCUCGUUCUCGUUGUUGCAGGAAUCGAUUAACAGGUCAUUGAUGAACUUACUGAGUUAUCCAUGGAUCGAAGAACGUGUUGUACGCGGGAAGCUUUCGAUCCAUGGUGGCUACUACGACUUCAUCGAUUGUACGUUCGAGAAAUGGACCCUCGAUUACAAGGGUACUACCAUGCACGGCGAUAGCGAAUGCUCCAUUAAAAACCGGGAAUUUUGGACCUGAAAAAAUCGCUUUUUUCGUUAAAUUUGUCUUCUGUAUGUUGAAAACAAUUUGUAUUAUUACAAAAAGCUUCCGUCGUGUUGUGUAGUUUGUGCCGUCGUACGUUCACUUCGAUUCUCGAAAUAAAUGUGUGAUUGUAGUUUAUAAUUUUUCAUAUGGUUAACCGAUGUCGAGCGGUGUUAAUGCAGUAAAUUCGACACUCGAAUUAAAUACAGAAGUUUCAUUACAUUGUAUGAAUUAAGAUUUUCCUUGUCCGGAAAAAAUGUUUCAUUCUAAUAUAGUUUCUUUGUUCUUAGCCAUGAUUGUUGUUCAGGAUUCGGAAUUUACGCAUUCGCCCCCCUGAUAAUAAUAAUAUGGCUGCGGCUAUAUGCAAUACUCAUUCCACUUGUGCAAGACCAAAUUAAAGAAAGAUUCCAAAAGAUUCUAUUUUAUUAAGAUGGAAUGACAAGUAUGCCCAUAAAUUAAAUUGACUUUUUUUUUUCUCAUGUAAGACCAAAUACAAAUAAUGAGAAAAAAACAAAAAUCGACACCAAGGUGUCGAAAAACUAUGCUACAAAUCGACACUUAAGCGUCGAAUUUCAUAGGUAAAAAUCGACAUUGACAUGUCGAAUUUGUAGCACAAAUUCAAAUGUCGAAUUUUAUACCUAAAAAUCGACAUCUAAAUGUCGAAUUUUAUACCUCAAAUUCGACAUCUAAAUGUCGAUUUUUACCUGUAAAAUUCGACCUGUACAUGUCGAAUUCGUUUGCGCGGGAUUUUUUUUUGGAAAAUCGAUAUUCUAGCUAAAAAACCCCAUAAAUGCAUACAUUCUUGGGUUCUUCCAUCGUAAAAUCUUCUAUUUUGAUGUCUUAUGACUCCAUACUUGCCAUCUUUGUAAGAUUUGUUGAGUUUUGAUGAUUUUGAAUUUCUAGGUUUUGUGGGUUAACGGAGGAGGAAGAAGAAAGGUCUUGUGAGUUUUGGAAGAUGGAGAAGAUGAUAGUUGGUCUUGUGGUCUUGUGAUAGGGUUUUUUGUGUUUUUGAAUUUUUGGUCUUGCAUAUUUGGAAUUUUUUAUUUUUUUAAUAAAUAAGGGUAUUAUAGUAUUUAUACAUUGAAAAUUUUAAUUUGGUCUUGCACAAGUGGAAUUAGUCUUGCAUAUAGCCGCAGCCUAAUAAUAUUCCAAAUUUCGGUUUCCCCGAGUUUGCACCACCAGCCCCGGAAAUUCCAUUUCUGCCCCCCGUGGACUGAUUUACCACCAGUGACCGAAUUUCCCGAGCCCUAGUUACGGCCGGACCCCACUAGACCCUCAAUUGCCACCUGGCGACGACGAGGGCGACGAUCUUCCGGAAAACCCUGUGCCGUUCAGGAACUGAUCAAAUUGGUAAAACAGUAAGAGUGACAAAACAAUGUAUACUUGAAAAAAAAAUUGUAUCUCAAAUAAUAUGAUCGAAUCUCGAUGAAUAUCGUCUCCUUUCAGAUCGAAAAUUUGUGCAGAAAAAAAAAAGAAAAGAAAUUAAUGAAAAUAAAUUGAAAAAAAAAAAAAUAAGAAAUUGUUGUCUAGCUAGCUUGCUGUUUUGACAUUGGCAUAUAUCUACAGAACCAACUUAUUAAUUACUUCCCCAACUACCACCCCUUAAUGCUUUAUUCUCCUCAACCGCCAUUCCGUUCGAUUAUUUUCCGUUUUUCAAAUUAUCUGUCACUUUAAAAUUCCAAUAAUGCCUUAUUUUUCUUCCUGUUUUACCCUUAUUAAUCUGACUGUAUCAGACAUUAAUGCUUUCUUACCGACAUUUUUUUCAACGACAAAGGUUAUUUUAGUUUUUCUUACGCGCGUGUACAAAACUCAAACGACAGAUCGAUAUUAUGACAUAGUGGGAGUAUCGGUUGUUGGCUUUUAAGACAAACAACCAACUUUAAUUCUUGUGUGCAGCUGCAGCUUAUCUCUACUGUAAUAACUUCUUCUGUUUCUUGAUAUACAGUUAUGGAGUGAGUGGCCAACCACCCUAUGAACGGUAGUCUUAAAUUAUCGGAGCUGGAAGAAGUUGUAAAAUUAAAUGCCACAUUGCAUUAUUAAAAAAAAAUUUGUAAAAUCUUUUACUAUAAAUUCUUACCGCAACUACUAUUAUUCGAGUACCCUUUUUCGUCCAAGUUUCUUACAACAAUGUCUUCUUCUUCUUGUUCUUUGAAGUUCACAAUCUCACUCAUUGUGAUUGCACUGUCAAUCCAGGGCCUGGAGAAAACUUCGGCGUCGUCGGUUGGUAGCCGUAAAAUGCUGACGUUCGGUGGACUUCCGAGUUUGCCCUUCCCUUCAGGGACUCCCACUUUGCCACAGCUUCCACCAUUCACAUUGCCUGGAAGUGGAGGACUCCCUGGAGGAAUCCCUGGAGGAAUCCCUGGUGGAAUCCCUGGAGGAAUCCCUGGAGGAAUCCCUGGAGGAAUCCCUUCUUUCCCUGGAUUAACACCUCCACCAUUUUUCACCAGGCCUUGAUAAACUUUGUUUAUUUAAUUUCUCUCUCUUUGUAGUGUGUGUGUGUGUGUGAGACUAUUAGUAGUUAUAUUAUGUUGUGGUUGUUGUUUUUCGGUUAAUUAAUUAAUUUUCCAUUGAUGUAUAGGGAGUAGAGUAUGUGUGUGUAUCUUUGAUGUUUUCUGUAGAAAUAAAAAAAAAAAGAGGGUUUGUUUAAUUUGUUAAUCAAUUAAUUAGUUUUCACUUUUUUAAAGUGUUCUUUGUCAUGUUUUAUAAGUUAAUUUGUGGGUUUUGUAUUUUUCGUGUUGUUUGCGAGACAUCGUACGAUAGUAUAGAUGUUUAUGCGGUACAUCUAUAUAUAUAACGAGUUGUAGGUUUUUUCAUUCUAAAAAAAAACGGGCGUAAUAUAUUGAAAAUGUUAAGAAGAACUUGAUAAUAAUUUCUAUUAUAAAGAUUUCUGGUAUUGAUUUUUUUCUUCUUUCGUAAUUAUUUUGAAUGAAACAGAACACUAUGUAAACAUUUUUAGGUGAAUUGCGAAAAAAGUCGCUUAUGUUCUUUUAAUUGUAAAGAACAAAAUCCAAAAUAAUGCAAAUUGCUCGUAUCUUCUUGAAAUACUGUGUAAUUUUUUCUUAAUGUUUGAGUUCAACUAACAUUUAAACACUUAUAUAAUAAAAAAAAAAUCAUUUUAACCAUUGACUUAUCAAACAAACCUAAACGUUCAGGACAAACACCCAUCUUAACACAUUGAGUUAUAUAUUCAACAUUCAACGUGCAACGCUUAAUUAUGUCAAAUGUAACCUUAAAUCUUCUAUAAGAGGAAAUACUUAUGACUAUUGACUUAUUAAAGAUCCUAUUUUCAUCUUGAAUUGUAUAUUGAGCAACUUAUACAAUCCUCCUUUAAUAUUAGUUCAAGAGGGCAUGCUUACAGAUUUGACGGUGCUGAAAAUGACAAUUCAGAAUGAGGCACCAAAUUCUGAGGGUAGUAUCAUAGUAUGUCGGCGUUCAAAGUUCGUGUGGCAAAAUUAACUGCGUUUGAUGAUGUGUGCAACGCAAAGGAAGUGAAAAACUUUAUGUAUCUUGUGAGUGAUGUAAAGUCGUGGUUCCGUAUUCUAUUGAAAACUUAUGGAAAAGUCAAACUAGAAAGAAGAGAACACAAUUUUUUUUUUCCUCCAAAAUUGAACAAGAAAAUUAACAAGUGGAUUUUGAUUUGAAUUUUUGUAUGUUAAAUUAUUUUCGAAUUAAUUAAUAUUUUUUUUUUAUAAUAUAUAGAUGUGGACAAAAAAAAUAAAAUAAAAAGAAAAAGAAAAGCCCGUUUAAUGAAACAAAACGGCCCAAUGACUAACUACUAAAAAAAACCCCAUUAUGUUUGCCCGACCCGGACCCGGACCCGAACCCGAACCCGAAUUUUUGUUAUAAAAGGGGAGGAACUCAUGAAUGGAGAAGACGAAGAAAUAAGAAAUUAAAAGAGGAAAGAGGAAACGAAAAUAAAAAAAUUGAAGAAAAAGAAGAGCGAGGAGGAAGGAUUAUAUAUGGCUCUGUGGGCCGAUGGAACAGGUGAGAGUUCCUCAGCCGUAUCCGCCGCCGCCGACGAGGAAAUGACCGUCGGUACGUGCAGAUUUCUUAACCCCCAAAUAACGAGAUUAGGGUUUCUUCACUCAGAGAGGAUUUUCUUUUUUGUCCUCUCUCCAGCGCUACUAUCAUGGUUUCCUGCUGCUUAGCUGUAGCAUCUUCUCACGUUUUGAAAUUCUUUUUUUUUCUUUCCUGCGGCGAACUACUGGAAAUUUAUUAAUUUUGAAUUGGCAGAUGAUGAGGAUGAGUACGAUGAGGCUGAAGGGGGCAACCGCCUCCUUGGUUUCAUGUUUGGGAACGUCGAUGAUUCUGGUGAUCUUGAUGUUGAUUAUCUUGAUGAGGUGUGCUUCUAUUAUUUCUGCCAUCUUUUUUAUUUAAUUUUAUUACCAAUUUGUCUGUUUUGAUAUUGGAGCUAAAGAGUCGAAGGAAUGAUGAAGAGGGAUAUUGAUUUCGUUAAAUUCACCGUCUUCUUGUUUCCGAUUUGCGCGUGUAAAGAGUGGGAUUUGACAGGGGGUAGUUUGCAUGAAGUAAACAUUAACUUUACAUUAAUAAUGUUCAUAUAAAGAGAAACCCCAAUACCACUUAGGGUAAACUGGGGUGGUAAGCUCGAUUUUUUAGUUAAUACAAGCUUGAUGUCUAGCAUGAGUUGGCUUUGGAUAUUGGAAUUUGAUUCGACAGUAUGAUUUAAAUGCUGAAGAAUGAAAACUUAUAGCAAUAAAAAAUUAGCCAUUGUUAAUAUGAAGGUAUUGUCAUGUUCCAUAAUCAGUCGACUAAUUCCUAAUCUUCGUCCGAGUUAUUAACUAUGAAUAUAUCGACCCUUAGUGAAAAAAAAAUGGAUUUUGUGAGCAUUUAGGUGUAAUUGAAGAUUGCUAACCCUGUCUUAAUCCAAUUAGCAAAAAUAUAUAUCGCAGACCGAGAACUUGAAAAAUGGAAAAUCUUAUCAUAGGGUGCAGUAAAAGGAGGAAGCAAAUAAGUGAUGUACCCUUUACAAGUAUUCUUUACACAAAUCAAGUUCAUUAAAAAUUUAGGUGCGCACUUCGGCUCACAGAGAUCUUUAGUUUCGUGUAAAUAUAAAUAUCAGAUGAGACUUGGUUAGGUAUCAUAUUAUUCUAAUUUCGGAAGUUUCCAUUUGAGGGUUCAACGCCAAAAGUCAGUUUGAGCUUAUUGACAGUUCUAGUUUCGUGCAUGUGAAGUAUUUGAACUACUGGGUAUGUUUUAGUUGAUAUACAUUGGAAUGACAUUGCCCUAUUUUUGUUAUGUAUUUUGAGUUAUAAAGAAAGUCAUUCUUUGAAGCUAAUCAAAAUUUUCCUUUUUCUUUUUUAUGCAUAAGAGCAUGUUGAUAGAACUUAGAGUAUAGUGACUUCUGGAUAAAUUUGCUUUACAUUUGUCAUUAAUUGAAUACCUAUGCUGCCUGGUUUUAGGGAGUUGUUUAUCAUCAUUUAGUGCCAUGGACCAUGUUGUUCCUUGUGCUCAGAUUUACAUCAUUUCUUUUCUAUUUCUGUUCUGUAGAUUCAAUUUUCCAAACAAUAUAUUAUUAGUGAGCUCUCAUGUCAAAUUACUAUAUGCUCAUCUCUUAGCUGUCUCAUGCACUGCUCAUAAAAUAAUCCAACAUUGACACCCACGUGGACUAUUACACCAUAGUUUGCAUCUCCCCAGGAGCAUAUAUAAUUUUGAUAAUAUGAAAAAUUAAAAUAGCUGCUGAACCUCUUAUAGAAUUCUAGGAUCAAGAAAUAUUUUGUUCGAGUCGGCACUUCCCAUCAGUUGUUUUUAGAGAGUUCUCUUUUCCUAUCAGGAAAUCAAUAAUUUAUAGAUUUCAAUUACCCUAUAUGGAAAGAAUGUUCUCAGGACUACGAUUUAAGUUUGAAUACUGAGAUAUUUAGGUUGCGGUAUGGAUAUUCGAGUUUCUUAUUUACUAAUAAUGAGUAGGCAGAUCUGGCACUGAAUUUCUAUGAACCACUGGGUUACUAAAUGGCAGCUUCCACUUUCAGACCCUAUUUUGAUUCUUACGUGCAGUUAGGUCAUGAAAAUUGGCAACUAGUCUUAGAUACCUUUUUGUUUAUCCUCUCUCCCUGGCUUGUUGAUUUUUUUUUUCAUGACAAAUGCAUGCUAAACUGUGAAUCUUCUUUUCAGGACGCAAAGGAGCAUCUUGCUGCAUUGGCUGACAAGCUUGGUCUAUCCCUGAAAGAUAUAAAUGUACGGAGAUCUCAUACACAUCACAACCAUGGUUAUAAAUUCUAGAGCAGACAUUAGUGGACUUAUAGACUGCGUAUCAUCGUAGUUGACAGACAGUUGUUAGUUGUUGUGCUCCGAUGAUUAUUUCUCUAAUGAUUUUAUUCUUUCAAGUUUCAGCUCGCUGUAAAAUCACCAACUACACCAUCCGAUGCUACAGAUCAAGGUGAUGAUGUAUUCCAGGGAACACUAACUCAUAAACUUAUCGAAUUUCAGUUAGUAUGUAUUCCUUUUCUAUGAAGUGGGCCUGCUUUGUUUAGAAAUAAUCAUGAUUUUGUUUCUUGGUUUUUAUUCUGAAGCAGGUCUUAGUAGUGUUAGCAAUCUUUAAAUGAUAUAUUGCUACCUGCGGUUGUCGAUAUUAAUUAAUACCUUGUUGCUAAUGGAACUAGUAUUAUCCUGGUUGUUAGAGUAAUGAUGCGUGUGCUUUCUUUGCAAGGGCUAUGCCAUCCAUCCCAAAAUUCCACGGAAUAAGAUUUUUUUAAUCUUGCUGUUGCUAAGUUCUUGACCCAUAAGGCGAAGAAACCAAAUUAAAAUCUAUGUAGACCCUAUAUUAUUAGACACCUAGAUGAUGAUACCUUACUCCAAAGACCGAGAAGUAAUGUUUACUUGAUCCAUCAGUUGAGAAGUUCUCUUGACAUAAGGUGCACAUAAGAGAGGCUGAUCACUGUAUGGUGUAUAUUGUGUUGUGGCCAAUUUUUAUAACCACCUAAAUUAGUUUCGUGAUAUCUUUGAGGGAUGAGGAAUUGUAGCAGCUUUAAAGUGUACUGAUGCUCUAGUAUCAGUUGAUGUGGUAUUAAGUAACCUGUUUGAAACUGGAUCUAACUGGCUUUUUAUUUUAACCGGGAAAGGGCACUAGGUCCAUCACGGUUACGUAUAUAAAACCGGAUCUCGUUCAUUGUUUGAAACUAUCGUGAACUUAUAGAAACCGAUAAAACCGGAACUAGCUGUAACCACUUAAUUUGCUGGUUAUCAUUUCAAAAAAAAUAGCAAAAUAGAAAAGAGAAAUGCAAACCAACAGAUAGUAGGACUAUAUAUUGUCUUCUUCCUCUUUUUCUAAAAUAGGGCAGGUAGUGGAGCUAUGGCUGCUGCCAGGAGAGGGACCGGAACCUUUUGGAUGUUUGAAACAAUAAAAGUUGUUAUCAUUUUAUAUAGUGGCGGAACAACAAGUUAAAAUUCAGUUUGACGAGUUUCUGUCGAGCAUGGCCUGCAACAAAGUUUAGAACUUAAAUAUUUUAAAAAGUAUGUUGAUUGGUGUUUGAUUAAUUUAUAUUUUGAUGUAAUGAAAUAAAAAGUACAAUAAUUAGUGUAUUAUGUUAUUGUUUUAUAUUAUAUAAUACAAAAUUUAUCUGGUUGGUCCGUUCGCUCAACUCUAACCUGUUUGGUUGCUGCCUGGUUUUAAAAACGAAGGUACUAAAGUAACAAAUUAAUAUACUGUAUGUAGCCACACCCUUAGUCUAAUAUGUUGUAGAAGUUCUGAAAUAUCUAUACUAUUCAUUCAGGCUGCUGACAAUUGUUGCACAUGCUUUUGUGUCAGCUUUAUUAAAGCUCUUAGCAAUGAGAUGGUGUGUUGGUUUAAAACCUUCAAAUUUGUAAAAUGGCCUAGAAACUCCAGAUAUGAAGUAAAAGAGAGUAAAUAACAAGAUUUGUAAUCUGUCUUAACUCUGAAGUUAUAACACUUUAUAGAUGCUGAAUUUAUCAUAAGCAUUUUACCUUGUACGGACAUAAAAGUGAUGGAUUAUUAUUCAUAGUACGGACAUAUUAGCUUAUACAUUUUAUGUAUAUUCACUUUCCCAAUCUUCAUGUCAGUUCACGUGUUCUAUGGUCUUGUAGGUAGAUUCAGUUAAAGCAAGAGAUUAUUCAUCAUAUAUUAGCACCAGUUGGCAUUUUAAAACAUCAUUCUUUCCUGUUUCUGUGCUUUAACCCAAUAUUUAGAAGUUGAAAUUUAUGUUGAGUUUACUAUAGCAUAUAUAGACUUAUGUUUUUCUACCUAUUCAUUUGCCAUUUGUACCCAAUUCUGCUAGUCUAGAAUACAUUCUUUCCUCAUUGUCUAUGUAGUCCUAAUUAAAUAUUUUUUAUCCCUUCUUCUUUCUCGUGCACACCAGAUUAUGGCAAGAAGGCAGAAAAUGCUGUUGAUUAUGAAGACAUAGACGAGCAAUAUGAAGGACCGGAGGUUCAAACAGCUACCGAGGAGGAUUUUUUAUUGCCAAAAAGGGAUUUUUUUUCCAAAGAAGUUUCAGUGACUUCGUUAGAAAAUACGAACUCUGUGUUUGAUGAUGAAAACUAUGACGAAGAAGAUGAUGAUUUGGAAAAGCAAAACCUGUCAGGAGAAGGCAACUUUGAAAGUCAGCGGUUUUCUCCGUCAGGUUUAACUUUACUUCAGAAGCCUAUUACAUCUGUUGUACUUCCUCUCAUGUUUGUUGUUUUAUUUGAUAAUCAUGUUCUUUGCCCUUUUUUAGUACAUAUAUUUAUUGAAAAUCUCAAAUUUAUAACUUAAUAUGUGCAAGUCAUUAAUGCCCAUUUAGUCAAGUGUACCUCUCCAUUGAGUAGCGGUUUUAUUCAUAUUUCAAUCCAAAACUCAUGAUUCUCUCUCUGUCUCUCUUUUUUGUGUGUGUGUUUAUUUCAGUUGUUAAUAUGAAUACAAUUUUUUUGUUCCCGCGCAGUUUCUUCUACUUACCGUGUUAUACAUGUCCUUAAAAUUCCUUUUUGUGUAUUCCUAUCUUCAUUUAGUUUCAUUAUUUACUCUGUGAUUUUAUUUCACAUUAUCCUUGUUGCUUGUCACCUGUAUUUAUCUAUUCAGUUCUUGAAAUGAACUAUAGUACUAUCGAUGAGAAGCCAAGUGCUCUGAUUAGGACAUCUUAUAGGUCUUUUUUUAUGUAAUGCUGAAGGUGCACCAGUCCUAGGUUGGAUUCUGCUGACUGAGUGGGUACAGAACAAUUAUUGCUAAAUGGUGAUUGGUUCUGAGGAAUUAUAUCUCGGAUAUGGAGAGGGUGUUCAAAUGUUUGGGUUUUGAACUUGCAAAAUGUAGCUAAUGCUGAUACUUCUUGUGGAGAUAAUUUUACAUGAUAUGGUCAUUGGAAAGCUAGUAGUAUAAGAAUGACGAUUUGAUAAGCUAACUAGAAGAAAGAGUAUGAAAGCAGUGGUAUAACUGAAAAGGACAAAGGCUUAGUGGGUAGAGAGUCAAAGAAAAUUAAUGUUGCUCUCUUUUUCUUUAAACCAUGGAGGAUAGUAAAAUUGAUAUAAAUUAUAAAGUAAAAUACUAACCCACCGGCCAAAAUGUAUUCUACUGUUUUCACCAUUAUGAACCCAUCAAUUUCGUAUAACAUGCCACAUCUAAAAUCAUAAUGACUUGAUGAAAGGUAUACCCUGUCAUCUUUAGUUCUCUGUUUGAAACACCGAGCCCUUCUGUGGCAGCGUAACACUUCCAAUUUCUGUCGGUUCCGAUCCGUAAAGUUCCAAUUUUGGAACAACUUUUUUCAUUCCAUUUUCCGAAAUUCCGAUUUCUGAAUUUUCUGUAUUUUUUUGGAUCGGAAUUAUAUAUAUUGGAAUUUCCGACUUCUAAUUCAAAUUAGUUUCCAAAACAUUAAAUCCAAGACUUGCGGUUAUUUUCCGAAAAUUACACUUAUAAGUAAUGUAUAUUAUAUAAUAUCAUUUAUUUUACUUGGUGUAAAAUAAAUUAAAUAUUUAAUUAUAUUUUACUUUAUGAGCCAUUUUGGAGAGUCAUUCUUUUAUUUGCUAUCAAAAUGGCAUUUUUAAAAAAUGAACUGAAACUUAGUUCUUUUUGCGUAUGCAGAAAGCUAUAGCAUCAGAGAGUUUUUGUCGAAGUGUGUGUUCUUACUUUUUGAAAUUUAUGGAAGUUUCUAAAAAAUUUCGUACUAUUUGAAAUCAUAAAACUAUGCGAUUUCCGAAAUUUCCGAAAUUCCAAAAAAUUCCUAACUUCUGCAAUCAGAAUGAAUUUUUAGAUUCCAAAAAUUUUGGAAUUGGAAUUGGAAUUUGAAUUGGAAUUGAUUUUGUACUUCCGAAAAAAAUUGGAAAAUUUCCGAAAAGGACAAUUCCGAUCUGUUCCGUCCGACUUUCACCCCUCAUCAUAUCGGUGGUCGCAUAACUUCGGUUGUUCUCUUAUCUAUUAUAAAAAUAAUACGCCAAUGGCUCAGAUGCUUAGUGCUCAUUAUCAUGCAAUCCAGCCGUUUCAUAUUUAUUUAGUCGAGUGAGGAACAGUGGUUUAAAUUUCUAAAAUUUUGGUAAAAAUUACAGAUGAGAACAUUGAAGUUAGUAAUCCGUUCAUGAGCAUACUAGGUUUCUGAAAAAAAAUAAUUAUUGGGCGUGCGCAAAGUGCACUCAGUUUGAAUGCCAAUUCCUUUCUCUAGUUUUAUGAUCGUAAAAUGUGGUUUUUCCUCAGCUUGACCUGUCAGCAGACGUUAGAGAAGCUGUAGAAUCUUACAAUCACCAGUAAGAUGGAUAAAUUAACAAAAUAUACGUCGGGAACAAUAAUAGAAAACCUAAAAAUGAAGGUAGUGAAACCUUUUAAGAUUUUGUGUAGAUUAUUUCAUAGAUAUAUUGACUAAGGUCUUACUAGAGCAACAUGUGUGAUAUCACUGGAUUUGGAACAUGAAACAAUAGAGGUAGGGGUACUUGGAGCUGUAAAUAUUUUUAUUCUGGAUUAUAGAAAUUUAUCAGGAAUUCUAUGUGUCAGUGAAUACUUAACAUUAGUGUUUCUAAUAUACAUUUCUUACCUUCUUUUUAUAGGUGAGCAGAAUUACAUUCAUGAAGUACUUACUGAAGAGGAAAGUCUUGCAGAAGAUGUUCAUACACUCCUAGAUUCCGAGGAGGUUUGUUGUGUUUUUUGUAGGCUGUUUUAUUAUAAUUUUUUUAAGCACACAAUUUUGUCUGUCAACUUUUUUAUCAAAACACCUCAUUUUAUCUUAUAAGACAGAGGAAGUGGGAUUGGGAAUAUACUGUUCCAUAGCAGUUCAUUCGCUUUGCCCAAUGAUUUUGGAUUUCAUGUUAUUUGACCUACGCAUGAUUUAGCAGGAUGAUUCAAUUGAUUCUGAAGACUCAAUGGAUGGUGAUAUGUCUUCACUGCUUCCUGUUCUCUAUGUAGAGGAUGGGAAGGCAAUCCUACGAUUUUCUGAAAUUUUUGGUGUCCGUGAGCCCUUAAAGAAAGCGGGAAAAAGAGAUUGCCGAUAUAUAGUACCUAAAGGUGUGUAUUAUUUUGUUCCACUGUAGUGGAUCUUUCUCACAAGUUUUGAUAGCCCUUGUAACGAUUAAGAAUAAAAAAAUAACAUGUGUGUUCAAAUGAAUUAAUAUUUUGUAAACUUUUAGCAUUUUGGUACACAUGUUCCAUUUAAGUCUGCCAAAUAUUGCAGUAAGUUUUGUUAUAUGCAUUUACUUUCUGAAUAAGCAUAUUUUCUUUCCAUUUUGCUAGAGAAAUACAAGUCCAUGGAUGCGUCCGACAUCGUCGAGGAAGACGAAGAAAAAUUUAUGAAAACCCAUUGCCAAGAUUUUUCCUGGAUGAGACCGUUUCAUAGAAAAAGUGAUAUUUUCAUGUCGAGUUUUGAAGGCGACUCAGUGAAAUCUGGAAUUGUUUGGGAAUCAGAAAAGAUGUCUUUGGGUGUUGAUGUCAAUAAGAAGGAUUCCUGUGGUUCUGCUGAACCAAUGAAAGAUGACCUCUCAGUAUCUAAUUUUGCAGAAUGGAGCUCUUCUUUCUCCACCAAAUUUUAUCCUCUUGACCAGGAAGAUUGGGAUGAUAGAAUUGUUUGGAACAAUUCUCCAUCUUCGACGGAUAAUUUUGUAGAGAGUUGUGAGCUGUCUGGACCUGAUUCUGACACAGUUCCUGAUAAGGAUAUGGAUACGAUAGCUGAAGUACAAACGCCCGUGCCAGAAAUCCAAAGUGAACCUCAUUAUAAGGAUCGCACAUCAUUUCUGAAUAGAUCUUCUAUUUCUGUGGAGCCUUUUGGCGCAGACAGAUAUUCCGAAUUGACUAACCUUACCACCUCUGAGAACAGAAGUCAUCCCCAACUCCUAAGGCUAGAGUCUCAAGUAGAUAAACAGAACACAAACUCUGGAGGUGUAAAUGAUGUUGCUACUGAAGCUAAACUUUGUAGUGAUGCUAUAAGACGUUUUAGUGAUCUCACCUUACUAAAUAGAGAGGUAGUGGAAGGAUCUUGGUUGGAUAAUAUUGUGUGGGAGGCCCAUCAGUCUAUUGUGAAACCAAAGCUAAUUCUUGAUCUCCAAGACGAGCAGAUGCUUUUUGAACUUUCAGAUGCGAAGGAUGCCAAAGAUCUGCAGCUUCACGCGGGAGCAAUGAUCAUAGCACGUUCUUUCCAUCCUGGCGGUGGUGAUUCGGUCGAGCUACAUAAUCAUGGAAUUGUACCAGCUGGACGGUUCAAUAUUUCUAAUGACAAAUUCUAUUCAAACAGAAAAUCCUCUCAGCAGCGAUCUCAUUCCAAAAAGCGGACUGUCCAUGGACUCAAAGUUUUGCAUUCAGUGCCUGCACUUAAGCUGCAGACGGUGAAAGCUAAGCUAAGCAAGUACGGACUCUCUUUAACUUUUAUUUCUUGCCUUCCCCUUAAUGGUUAAUGAUACAUAGCUGCAGACGUUAAAUUCAUAUUACUCUAGGUUGGUAAGAGGUCAUCUUAUGUCGGUUUUUGUGGAGUGUUGAGUAAGGGUUGAAGUGCCUGCCUAGUGUAGGUAUAUUAUUCUGAUGCAUUUGCUUACCAGAUGCUUAGCUUGAGUUCUUUAUGUAUCUUAAAAAAUGACUUGCUUUAUAGCUUAUUAUUUUUGCUAGUUAUUUAUGCCUUUAAUUUUUUCCUCGCAUCGUUAACCAAUCUUCUUUCGUCUUUACUUCUCUGCUCGUUGUGAAGCAAUUGCUUUUUUGCAGCAAAGAUCUUGCUAAUUUUCAUCGGCCAAAAGCUUUAUGGUACCCACAUGAUAUUGAGGUGCCACUUAAGGAGCAGGGGAAAUUAGCCAUGCAGGGACCAAUGAAAAUCAUUAUGAAGAGUUUGGGUGGCAAAGGAAGUAAACUUCAUGUGGAUGCCGAAGAAACCAUCGCCGCUGUGAAGGCUAAAGCUUCAAAAAAGCUAGGUAGGUUGUUUCUAUUAACCCUGAUGUCUACUUUCUUUGUGUUUCAAAGAAUAUCUUUUUUUAGACAGGAUUAGUACAUGGAUGACGUACGCUACUUUAUUUAUUUGACAGAUUCUAGUACGUCUUUUUGUAUGUAGAUUUUAAACUAUCUGAGCCAGUUAAGAUAUUUUUUUCUGGGAGGGAGCUUGAAGACAACAAAUCCCUUGCUGAACAAAAUGUUCACUCAAACUCAGUCUUGCACCUGAUUCGCACAAAAAUAUAUAUGUUGCCCCGAGCACAAAAGCUUCCUGGGGAGAACAAGUCAUUGCGUCCUCCUGGGGCAUUUAAGAAAAAAACUGACCUUUCAGUAAAAGAUGGACAUGUUUUCUUAAUGGAGUAAGUUAUCACAAUAUUUUGUCAUUGGUUUUAUGAAUUUUGAACUUAUUCACCUGUUUUGAUCCUAAGUUAUUAUUAAUAUCCGAUUCCAUUUUGUGUUUUUACUAUACAUGAUGGAAAAUGCAGCAGUGAAAAAUAUUCAAAGGACACCAAUUAUUUAUGUCAAAACAACAAAAAGUGUCAGUUUCUGGAAGUGCAUAAGAGGCACUGUAAUCGAAAGCCUGAUGUAAUGUUGUGACCUGAUAGAAAAUCAUAAUAUGAAUCGUUCCACUAUAUGAACUGUGAAUUGGGUGGUAGUUUGCUUAUUUAGAGAUUAAUUAUAUAACUUCUAAUACUCAUUUGUUAUAGGCCAAUUCCCAAAUAUGCUUUUUGUUUGAGCCUUCUUCUUUCGGAUAUGUUUUUCCUUUGUUUUACAAAUUAUUUCUACUAGACUGUUGCAGCUUAUUGAUUUUGUUGUUGUAAAUUAUAAAAUGCAGGUACUGUGAGGAAAGACCAUUACUUCUGGGUAAUGCUGGAAUGGGUGCAAGACUGUGUACGUACUAUCAAAAAUCUGCACCAGGUGAUCAAAUGGGUAACUUACUACGAAAUGGAAACAAUGGCUUUGGGAGUGUCGUGAAUCUUGAUCCUGCUGACAAAUCUCCUUUUCUUGGAGAUAUAAAACCUGGUUCCAGCCAAUCAUGCCUUGAAACUAACAUGUAUAGAGCACCCAUAUUUCAACAUAAAGUCGCAUCAACUGACUAUUUACUGGUUAGGUCUUCAAAGGGUAAGCUGUCCAUCAGGCGCAUUGACAGGAUUGAUACUGUUGGACAACAGGUGUGCCGACAUUCUUACUAUACCUUUUAUUUCGAUUUUUCAAUGUUCUUGUUUAAUCUGUCUGAGCUGUGAGCUUUCUCAUCAUUUUUUGUUUGGUUUUCCAUUGAAAUUUUCCAUCGUAUAAGUGUUGCGAUGCAUAAAGACCUCUUGUGUUCACACCCUCGGAAAAAUCUUAAUUUUUCUGCAGUUGUCAGAUAGGAUUAAAUGGAAAAUCAUUUUGAUUUUUUAUGCGAUGCUUUCAGUCCCUUUUGUAUUCCUAUUCCCAGUGGCAGUUAUUAGUUUUGUGAACCCCAUUUUCUAGAUUUUUGGGUGAGUUUUGGAAAACUGAAGAUCGUAUAUAGUUUAAGUUGGAAAUCAUGCAUAUGGCAUGUGCUUUGUCAAACAUGCUAGCUUUGAAACUUCAAAAUUAUCCCUGAGGUAAUUUAAUGCCAUCAUUUCUGAUCAAUUGUUGGUUUCUUCUGUCUUUGUUAGAAAUAUAAGUGAAGAACCAAGAUUCUUUUUAUCUGCAUUCUAACGAACUUUCAAAGAAUUGACUGGGUCAUCAUUAUAUUUAGGAUAUUGUUUAUCUAGUGAUUGAUAUUCUGAACGUACCUAUGUGUUUUUUGGUGCUUUACUUGCUUACAUUGAAUAAGAGAACCUACCUGGACAGUUUGUUUUUUUCAUUUACUGCCCAGGCCUAGGGAUGUUUUCGUUCAAAUUUACUGAGAGAAGUAUGAGGUUCCUUUGAAAGUAGACUGCUUUGGAUGGAUUUUAGUUUAAUAUGAUUUCUUGUUACCAUCUGAAUGACUAAACUCAUUAGAAGCUCCUAGCACAAUAGCACAAUCUAAAUGACUGCACAUAUAUUAUUUAUUUAUUUAUGCAUAUAGGGUUAUAUAGGUUUUCUGUUUGAACAUAAAUUGGCCAGAAAUUUAGUUUUUCAUUUUUUGAUAAUAUUAGGCCCAUAUGUGAUUUUUUUGUGGGAUUAAUUAAUGUGUUCUAUUUGAGUGUAGAAUAUAAUAUAGGCUGUAUAUGUUUUCUGUUUUUGUUUAAAAAAAAGUUGGCCUUGUAAUAGGGCCUUACAACACACGUUGUUACAAGUUUUAGACCUUUCUGGCGGAAAGAAGGUUCUUAGUCAAGGAAUAGGCGAGGCUUCCUUUAUUCAAAUUGAAUUGGCUAUGAUAGACAGAAGAUAAAGUUAAGGCUCUAAUAAGUCAAUGCAGCAAAUUUUAUUAGGUUGUACCAUGAGAGUUAAUGUAGCAAAUUUCUCAGCUUUGCUCGUGGAUAUUGGACUAGGGGUUUUUAUUUAUUUAAGUUGGACCUUUCAGCUUGUGUCUAUAGGUAUACAGUCCAGUUUAGUCUCUGUUAUCUUCCAUCGUUGAAACCAGAUGUCUCGAAUGUUCAUGCCGCUUUCUUAUGGUUAUUCUGGUAUUUGAAGAUAAAUGUCUUGGAAAUAUGCUACCUUAAAUAAUGCAAUGACUAAUCCGAUGUUGAUAUUCCUCAACAUGCAUUCUAAAGUAUCUUUAAAUGGAUUUGUUGGAUCUCUCUUUUUUUUUGUUUUGUUUUUGUUUGUUUUUUUUUCUUAAAUUUUUAUAAUUGCACUAUGAUUGGCCAAUGCUAGGACAUCAAGAUUUUUGAUGUUGUGAGUUCCUAAUUUCUUUUAACAUUUUUAUCCAUAGGAGCCUCACAUGGAGGUAAUGUCUCCUGGUUCCAAAGCUGUUCAGAUCUAUAUCAUGCACAGGGUGUUGGUAUACAUGUAUCGAGAGUUUCAUGCUUCUAAAAAACGUGGUUUGCGCCCUUCCGUACGCGUGGACGAGUUGUUCUCACAGUUUCCUACCUUGUCUGAAGCAUUUCUCCGGAAAAGGCUGAAAAGUUGUGCAGAUUUACAGGUAUUGCAUUCUGCUAUUAAUUUCCCCUGGCCCUAAUACCCUCUCUUGCCCUCGGGGUACAAACACAGAUAAUGGUCACAUUCAGCAAACUGAAAAAAGAGGAAAUAACAUAAACAAUUGUACUAAGAAUGUAGAAAAUUUUCAUCUAGACAAAUGAAAGGAAAACCGUGAAAAAUGUGUUUUAAGUCUGGCAUUUAUAUUUUGUAAGAAUUCUUAUUCUUGUUAAUUUCCAAAUGUUAAAAUGAACCUUGUUUCUUGCAUGUGCCACUAGAGAGGUCCAAAUGGACAUCUUCUUUGGGUUAUGAAGCGCAAUUUUCAGAUUCCUUUAGAGGAAGAACUAAGAAGGAUGGUGACACCUGAAAAUGUGAGUACUUGCAUAAACUUAUCCUUUCUCCUCAUUUUGAAGUUUGAAAUAAAUGCUGUACGAACAGAUUUUCGUGAUUGAUUUUUGAUUUUUAUAAUCUCUUAGAAUUAUGACAACUUCAAAUAGAUAGUCAAUUUACUAUUGGUGAUAUUAUUUUGUCAUAGAGGAUGGGAUACUUGGCUAUCGUCUUUGGCUUUAAAAUCCAGCAAAGGUAAGGGAUGGCCAACAACAUAACCCUUAAAAGCCAAUAUACCAGUAUGCAUUUCUAUAUGUUUCUUCAUAUAUUCUGGACUAUGUUAUGUGAUACAGUAGUUUGGAAAUUCUAAGAACAGCCUCUGUAAAUUAAAGAAUAGUCGAAAAAUUUAGCAGUUGAUUGUUUAAUACCCAUACAUUUAACAUCUUUUAUUUUUUAAUACCCAUAAAUUGGUGAAAUGGGAAUGAAGUAGUAGUAAAGCAUAUUAUAUGGUUAUGUGAAGUGUGUCCGAUGUCUCAAUUUUCAUCAACAAAGGAAAUAGUAAUGAUUUCAUUUGCGGCUCUCCCAGGGUCCUGAUCUGUCAUCCCUGGGGUUGAGGAGCAAGUUUUGCGAACAACCAAAAAUUUGUUCGGCAACCCUUCCCUGGUUUUCGCAAAUGAUUUUAGCAUUAGAUUUAGUACUUAUUCAUCUAUAGUUUUGUAACGGAGAACUACACAGAGGUAAGCUGUUCUACCUACAAUUUAUGGACUGUUUAUUUAAGAAUGAUAGCUGGGAGAUGGGGACGAUAAAUUUUGAAGUUAAUAGACAUCAAUUUUCCAUGUAUCAUGACCCAUAGGUAGUUCAUGAGUGGCAAUAAAGAGUUCCUUCCACAAUUGCUAACCGAAGGAUAUGUCUAAUGUCCAAAAAAGUAAAGCAAGGAUAUGCCUAAUAUUUAUAUCAGUGAUUUACAAUGGCCUAAGAUUGUCUUUCUUACAGUUUUCCCUUUUUGCCUUAGGUCUGUGCCUAUGAGAGCAUGCAAGCUGGCCAAUACAGGCUCAAAAGAUUGGGAAUUACAAGGCUGAUAAAUCCUUCAGGCCUUUCAUCUGCAAUGAAUCAGCUUCCAGAUGAAGCAAUUGCUUUAGCUGCUGCAUCACAUAUUGAGAGGGAGCUGCAGAUAACACCAUGGAACUUGAGUAGUAAUUUUGUUUCCUGCACAAACCAGGCAAGCAGUUUACCUUUCUCAGAAUCCCCAGCAACAUUGUGGACUCGUAUAUGGCAGUGUGUAUCUUUACUUAUAUGUAUUUUUUUAAAUUGCUUUACGAGUUAGAAGCAUUCUGGCAUAUAUUAACUUCAAACAUAUAUUCUGUUAGAUAUAUGUAUCCUGAAUAAAGAAUAAUAUAUUCUAUAAGAUAGCAUGGAAUCCUGAAUGAUGUUUCACAUGAAUUUAAAAAACAUACGUAAACAUCCCUGGAAUGUAGUAAAUUGGUGUGUAUGUGCUUGAUUUUCCUAUCUUUCCCGGGAAAUUUGUUUAUAUGUAUAGAAUGCCGAACAAUUCAUCUUGGGUUAAUGUCUUAAUGAUAACAGGCAAGUUCCAUGUUAUAUUUCAAUUUCUGUAUGCGGCUAACUAAUUCCGUGUAAAGCUUAUUUUUAAUCUUAAAUUUUGGCUUCGGGUCGACCAAAAAUAUAUUACAGCAUAAGCUGCAUUAUUUACUUUAAAUGGAAGCCAUCAAUUAAGUACUGAUAUUCCUGUUUUCUAAAAAUUAAAAUUGGAUGAUCAAUUUGUUCUGUUUUCUCCUUUUAACUGUCUACCGUUGGUGAAAAGUUGUAACUUUCAUAAGAAAGUAUGUUGAGAAGAUAAUUCCAAUGUAAGUUGCAUCGUUGUGUAUAAAAUUAAGUCAUGUUUUAUGGUUCCUGUAUUGACAUUGAAGUCAGUGAAUCAAAUCUACUUUUGUUGCUGUUGUAACAUUAUCCGUAUUGCUGCGAUCGGUGUUAGAUGCAUCAUAUAUUGCUUAAUUUACUUUCUGUUAUGAGCAUUGUGACUAUUUCGUAUAGAUUAGUCUUACAUUGUUGUUUGUGGUCUCUUUAUAUUCAGGAUAGAGAAAAUAUUGAGCGUUUGGAAAUAACGGGUGUUGGAGACCCUUCAGGAAGGGGCCUGGGUUUCAGUUAUGUCCGUGCAACUCCGAAGGCCCCAGUCUCAAAUGCGGUAGUGAAAAAGAAAGCUGUCGUUGGUAAAGGGUCUACUGUGACUGGAACUGAUGCUGAUCUACGCAGAUUGAGCAUGGAAGCUGCAAGAGAGGUGUGUUGGUUUUGUGUCAGGAGUCUUUUAUACAUUGGAAUUACUGUAUUCUGUUUUAGUAUUUGAAAUGUUGUAAGAUGUUGGUUUUCGCUAUUGUCUUGUUCUCUGUCUUGAUUGCUUUUCUUUGUUGAUUGAUGCUUAUGUCUAUGAAACAUAGAACAUGGAGUUUAGGAUUGAAUGUAUUUAAUUAAUAGUUCAAUGGCAUAAGAGUUCAUCGCAGUGCUUUAGUUCUUUCCUAGUUUAUCUUGACUCGGCAUUAGAAGUAUCAUCCAUACAUAACGAAUUGUUGUGGCGUAUUCACAUCAUAAUAUAUGAAUAGUAAGAACUAGAAUGAUUGUAUCUAACUAAUACUGCACCUGCAAGGUUUUAAUUUCAUGUUAUCAGAGACCUAUCAGAAAUCUCAAUGGGUUAAUUGGAUUCUAAAAGACAGUCACAGAGAGAUACUGUUUCUUUGGUUCGAUGGCAAUAGUUUACCGAUGGUGCACCCUAGUUUCUCAAUCUUUUACUUAGUCAGGCACCUUGUGAAUUGAAUCUGUUAACUUGUAUGAGUUAUUGGGAUCCUCGUAGUUCAACAAGGUUAGGGCGUAGUUUAGGUCCAUUCCGAAUGCAUCAAACAAACAUGAAAAACUAUCAAAUGACUCUGCGGACUCCUUAAAACCUCAUUCAGUACUCAUUUUCCUAAUUUACAUUUUCAUACAUCUGUGGAAAUAUAUAUUGUUUUUAUGGACCAUGCUAAUGAGGUUUUACUGUGUUUACGUGUAGCUUCUCCUGAAAUUCAACGUCUCAGAAGAGCAGAUUGCAAAGCUAACUCGAUGGCACAGAAUUGCUUUGAUUCGUAAGCUGUCAAGUGAACAAGCUGCAUCAGGUGUCAAGGUUGAUCCAACAACAGUCAGCAAGUUUGCUCGUGGACAACGUAUGUCCUUCUUGCAACUGCAGCAGCAGACUAGAGAAAAAUGUCAAGAAAUAUGGGAUCGACAAGCUCAAAGUUUAUGUUCUGGUGAUGGGGAAGAAAAUGAGAGUGAAUCAGAAGCUAACAGUGACUUGGAUUCAUUUGCUGGCGACUUGGAAAAUCUUCUGGAUGCAGAAGAAUUUGAAGAGGGCGAAGAGGAUAACUAUGACUCUAAACAUGAGACUGUUGAUGGUGUCAGGGGACUAAAAAUGAGAAGACACCCAUUGCAAACUCAAGCAGAAGAAGAAAUUGAAGACGAGGAAGCAGAAGCAGCGGAAUUAUGCAGGAUGCUCAUGGAUGGUACAAAGUUUUUAUAUGUAUGGAGUUCAAAGUUACAAGCUUUACAUUUUCCUAACAGUGAAAGAUUUUCUUAUGGUGACAGCCCGUGGUUUCUAAUAUAUAUGCUGAACUAAUGUUACAAAGCAUGGGGGAGCAUGUUUCGUUCAUUUUGAUUUUUUUAUCGUUCAUUUUUGAAUUUUUUACCUUGUAUUAUUUAUGCACCAGUCCUGCAUGUUAUUAACUCUGUUCUCUGAAUAAUACUUUAGGUCCAGUAGUAUUCCAUUUUUCUUAGUAAAAGCAAGAGGUCUGUUAGAUGUAACAUAGAUAAUGGGUGAACGUGGUGUAGUUUUUAAUCUUUAGAGAGAUUGUUUUUGGGUUCAGUUAAUCUUUCUGCUUAGUAUGAUUUUUUGCAUUAUAAUUUUAGUAUUCAAUCUUCUAUAUACGUGGAUAUAUAGUUUGUGUGACUCUUCUCAAUCUGAUUAUAUAAUGAUUCUCCAGUAGAUGAUGAAGCUGAUCGAAAAAAGAAGAAGAAGACAAGAGCAGUGGUCGAGAAAGAGGGGUUGCCCUUUAAGUCAAAGUUCGGUCCGGAAAAUGCUGACGGAAUUAAGAAAAAUAAUGCAGUUUCUAAGAGAAUAAUGCAACCUGAGGUAUCCUUUGUAUUGACUGAGAGAAUUACCAAAGAUCAAAAUGAGGUCCGUACUUGUUUGAUAUUCAAGUCUAAUCUUUUAUGCAUCAUCUAGCGUUGACGUCGACAAUACUAUUUUUCAUUAAUUCUGAAAGUGCUGAUCAUGAUCUUCAUAUUUUUUAAUCUUUUGGUGCAGGGGGAGAGCUUGUCUGCUAAGAAGCAUCUUCAAGGGAGCUUAAAAGCCAAGAAAAAGAAUGAAACGGAACAAAUGGGGUUACUAAGCAAGAAAGUUAAAAUUUUGGCGGAUGGGAUAAAUGUAAGUUUGCCUCCCAAACUUUGAUAUAUGAUCAGUUAGCCUCAUUAUAUGAUGUUAGCACAGUACAGGACAUGUUUGUGAAUAUACAUGCUGCAUGCUGAUUUAAUUUGUUACAUACUGUUUGUCUUGUAACUUUAGUUGGACAUUUAUUGGAUGUCUAAACUUUAGUAACAGAAGCAGUUGUCAGAAACUCUGAAUGCAAGCUUCUGUCAUUUUCGUUUUGGUUGGUGGUAGUGUGAGGGUCUCAGAGCUGCUUUAAUUUGAGUUACCAAUAUCUGUUACAUCGGAUUUAGUAAAAAAAACAAAGUGAAUCUUGGUACUGAGAGUGCCGCUUAGGAUGUGAGAUUUUUAUUACCAGGGAGAGUAAAAAGCAAAUUUUGACAUCUGCUGCUAUGAAAACAGGUGAUCAAGGAAAAGAAAUCAGCAAGAGAUAGUUUUGUCUGUGGGGCGUGCGGUCAGGUACGCAUCAAUUUAGAAAGCAGUAUGCAUCAAUUUAGAAAGCAGUAAUGUUUGCGUCGAGAUGCUUAAAAAUUGAUCGAUUUUUUUCCACUUGCUACCUCAGCUUGGUCAUAUGAGGACCAACAAGAACUGCCCCAAGUACGGAGAUGAUUCUGACGCACGAUUAGAAAGCAUAGAUCUUGAGAAGUCAUCAGGCAGGCCUAGCUUUGCAGAUCAAGCAGAGCAGAGUCAGCAGAAACCUUUUAUGAAGAAGCUCAUACCGAAAAACGGGACAAAGUUUGCUGCAUCACAAGCACCAGAAGAUGAUAAACCAACUUUUAAGGCAAAAGUUCUUAAGGUCAAAUGUGGUGCAACCGACAAAAUUCCAGAUAAACAAACACCCACUACUUCACAGAGCUCUGACAGACCAAUGAUGUCAGAUGCCGAAAUAGGAAACAAGUCUGUUGUUAAAGUCAAUAAAAUUAUUUUUUCAAACAAGAUGAAACCCGAAGAUGUGCUGGUUGAAACUCCUAAGCCCUCCAUUGUAAUAAAACCACCAGUGGAGGCCGAUAGAGACCAGCCUCGCAAGAAAAUUAUAAUCAAACAACCAAAAGAGAUUGUGAAUUUGGAUGAAAAUAGCCAGGACGGAAGUUUUGGCUUUGACUACAGGAAAACAAAGAAAAUAGCUGAGCUGUCAAGUUUUGAUAAGCGUCAGGAACAUGAAAGCAGACACUUCUAUGAAGAGUCAUCAAGAAUGAGAGAUCCAGAGGGUAGCCAAUCGUGGAUGGAAGGGAAAAGGAGAGCUGCUGAGCGACAACAAGCAGAAAGAAACAGGAGGGUAGAAAAAAUGAGAUUGAUUGACGAUCAGCCAGCAUAUGAGUUACUAAGAUAUGAAGUAGCUAUUCGUAGAGAAAGAGAAGAAGAAGAACGUAAAAAAGCACAUGCAAAGAAGAAAAUGAAGAGAAAGGCUGAAGUAAAGGAUGAUUACUUGGAUGAUAUUCCUCCUAGAAGAAAUGAUAGAAGGAUAGCAGAUAGAGAAAGAAAGGUGCCGAGGAGGGCAGAAAUCGAAACCCCUGCUACAAAGCGUCGAAGAGGAGGAGAGGUAAGUCGUUUUUUGUUAUAUAAUCAUUCCUAAAGCAGUGAGUCUUAUUUCAACCAAGUAGUUGAGUUUCAUCCUUCCAAUUUCUCUACAGCCUGAAUCAAGUCCUCCACAUUUUAUCUCCUGCAUGCAUGGAAUAUAGAUAUUGUUGGAUUUAUGGAUGCAUUCAUUGUUCUAAUGAAAUUUUAGUUUCGAGUGUUCUAUAAAAUCUCUGUUUUUAGACUCGACCUUCACUGCGUUUACUAUAAAUUCUGCGUUUACUAUAAAUUCUGCUCACAAUAGUGUGUUGUUUAGACUUGUCACUUGUUUGAAAUGGAGCCAUCCUUCACAGUCAACCAUAUUUUUGCGCACGUGCAUCUUUUUUUUUGGUCUUUGUACUUGGGUUUUUUUUUUCUGGGGAUAACAAACUUACGGGAAACAAAUAUUCAAACCGCAGGUUGUUUAGCAACAUCUUGAAAGCAUUGUGGAAGAGCUUUAGGAAGAAAACGAAAUAUCCUUCUUAUUUCUAAAGCCCGUCUCGAAAAAGGAUGCCCCCGACUAUCUGAACAUAAUCAGUCAUCCAAUGGAUUUGUCCACAAUCAGGGAUAAGACAAGGAGAAUGGAAUACAAGAGCCGUGAUGAAUUUAGGCAUGACGUGUAUCAGAUUGUAUACAAUGCCCACAAAUACAACGACAGGAAAAAUCCAGGUAUUCCUCCACUCGCGGAUCAACUUCUCGAGCUCUGUGACUUUUUAUUACUCGAGUAUGAUGCACAGCUAACGGAAGCUGAAGCUGGGAUUGAAUAAAAAAAAUGAUAUCUCGUUAGGUUAGAUUUCUUUCACUUCGCCCCCCUUCUCAUUUUUUUUAGCAGAAAUGGCCAAUAAUAGCUUUCUUUUUUUCCUUCUUCCAAUUGGAUUGGCCAUUAUUAAUCAAGUGUUAGUUUUUGUAGCACACAUGCUCCGUCGGUCCCCGGCUUUGUUAUAGGUGUGCUACAUGUUGUCUAAAGCUUAUUUAUAUAGGAAGAAAAAAAAAAGAUGUAUAUUAAUAUGUACAUAGAGCAGUGUUGAAAGUAUAGGAUGAAAAAAGACGAUGUUGUAUGAAUAUGUACUCACUUCACCUGAAAAGUGUUCUUCACUUUCUUUUCUCAUUAUUUAUUUAUUUUGCGCGGUAAUUUUGUGAACAAUUUCGCGAGGGAGAGUCCGGGUCAUCGUUUUAUUCGGGGAUGGUUUUCUUCCUUCAGUCUUUAAUUAAUAAUUCGAACUCUUUUUUAUUUCGUCUUUUGGCUGGUUAUAUAUGUUUUUGUAUUUGUAGAAGUAGCAUUUAACAAAUAUGAAGCAUUGAUUAUUCAAUACAUUAAGAGGGGUGCUUAGGGGUGUGAAUCGGACGGAUUGGAUUGGAUUCGGGUGUUUUGGAAAAAUUCCGAUUUUUGUCGGAACUCUAAAAAUUGGAAAUUGAAAUUUAAAAAAUCAGACUACAAAAAAUGGUUCCAAAAUUGGAGGAUUUUUUCACACAGACACACAUAAUUUAAUAGAGAAAUGAAGCCAAAGUUCGAUCAACAUAAUUACUUACCAUUAUUAAAAGAAGCUAAACAACAUUAAUAGUUUUGCAGUGAAACCCUUUACAAGUAAAACCCCAACACCAAUAGAAACACUAACCACCACAUUCAUCAAUGCCUUGUCACUCCUUUCUUUCCAAAAUUACACAAAAAACCCUAAACAUCAAAGAAAAUACAACUCAACCCCUCUUCAUUACAUGCAUUUACAAAACCAAGUAACAAAAAAAUAUUCUUCUUCACAUUGCAUGCCAAAGAACCCAAAUAACUAAGAAAAAAAAUAGAGACUUUUCAAGAAACCUUAAAAAAUCUCACUCCAUAAUGAAUCAUUAAUCAUUAAUCAUUAAUCACUAAUACCACCAUUGGUGCACAGCAAUCCCUUGAUCCCUAACUUUACCAUACAAUGCCAAACACUGCCAAUAAGCUCUCUUACUCCCAUUCUCUUCUUCCCCAUCCUGCCAUUGAUUCUUGCACUCCAAGAAUAACUCGUCGACAAGGCACAACGUCUUGUCCUCUAGCAUUUGCUCCACCACUUGCGCCUCCGCCUUCAUUACAACAUAGUCCUCCGGUCUUAAAUCUCCCAUCAACCAAUCCACGUCCAAAUCGUAAACCUCAAAUUCUUGAUUCCUCAUCGGAUAGUUCUUGUAGAACCAAUCAAGCGCGUUCGAAUCAUCCGAUAUGAAAACUCUCCUAGGGUACUCGUUCAACGGGUCCUUGAGCAAAUCGGGUAGGAACUUGAUCUUCCUCGAAGUAAAGCUCGAUUUUUUUGCUAGUGGGGCCCGCCUAGGCGGCUCAAGGUACACGUCCUCCAAUCCCUUCAAUGCCGCCCUCUUCUUCUCCGGUGUGACCCCGCACGAAACGGAGUUCGUUGAUGAUGUCAUCGGUGAUGUCAUGGCUUUCCUCAUUGCGACCACGGUGCUCUCGAAUCUUCUGAGGUACACAAUCUUGAAAUCCCUCAGCAAUCUUAGUUCGUUGGAGGGUUCGAAUCCCAACAGGGAAAUUACCAAGCCCCCAUUUUUUAGAACGCCGUUUGUCAGUUGUACGCUGCGAAAACUCGGGGCGAAGACGAAAUCGAAAACCCGUUUUUGCCCGUCGCCGUUUUUCUUUUUCGGCAUUAGAUCAGCUCCGGCGAGCAAAUCAACUCCGGCGUCUUUCAAGAAUUCGAAAUCGUCUUCAAUGUCAGGGACGCCAGCACCUAGGAUGAAACCCUUGUGGCCUUUCUUGAUAAGGCCUUCGUCCACCAAAUCACGGAGGAGAAUGGGUAGGAUCUUGAGGCCCGAACUGGAAACGGGUUCGGGCUCGGGCUCGUACGGAGGUGCAUUGGAGGCGGCACCGAUAAUAGAGCCCAGCGAAGGCAAUGCGAGAAGAAGCAUCGCCAAGAACAGAGAUCUCGACACGAUCCGCAAAGCCCGCGAAUCGGGUAGCCUGAUCACCAAAAGGGUCCGGGAAUUCAACCCGAACCCGACCCGGUUCGUCUCGUUCAUUCCGUUCCCGCCGUUUUUGGACCGGUAUCCACGGCCCGGUUUAUUAUCCAUCUCUUACGAUUACCAAUGUGUACCUCUUUUCUUAAAAAAAAUUCGCACACAGAGAGAGAGAUCGAGAAACUUACUCUUUUCUUAAAAAAAAAUUCAAUCAAUCCUAAAAAAAGCUAAGAGAGAGAGAGAGACAAGCGCGCGGCGGCGGAGGAAACGCUUAGCGAGUGCAAAAUCUGGCGGCGGUGUGGUUUCCACCCACGAGAGCAAGACGAUUACUUCGGAUUCGACACCAUAGCAGCAACAAUUGCCUAAUUCUAGCUAUUUCCAUUUUCUUCUCUCCUUAAUCUCCCUUAUAUAUUCCUAUUUCUCUCUCUCUCUAGACAGAAUGUUAUUUAACGAGGUUUCUUUCUGUUCGUUUUACAUGAUAGGGGAAGGGCUAUCUGAAACUCAACCACCCACCAUCAAACAGAGAGAGUAGAGAGAGAGAGAGAAACAGAAAAGAAGAAGAAGGUGGGGAUGUGGAAAAUAGAGAGAGAAAGGAGGAAGAAAAGGUGUUUGAUAAAUGUCCCCAAAGAAAAAAGAUUGCUUUUUUAGUGAUGAAAAAUUGUUGAAGGCAGUGUGUAUAUAUAUAUAAUAAUAAUAUAUUAUAAAUAUUGAAAGAAUUGUUUUUUAUUAUCCGUGUGGGGACCGCGGUUGAGUAAAAGAGUUGUCCUCCGAGGUUAUGGUGUUUUGUGGUGCUUCUUAUUUUUCCUAAGUACUAUAAUUAAGGAGGUAAUUAGGGGUGUUCUAAUCUAAUCCCUCCAAUUCUUUUCUUUCUUGAAUUAUUAAUAUGUCUAUAUGUCAUAUGUGUUGGUCAUAUAUGAGAUUGUGGACCGAUUCGAGUUCGAUUUACCUGUCAAUACUUUUAAAAUCGAGCUCAUUAGUAAAGUGAAUCAUUUGAUGCAUGUAUCUAUUUCGAUAUAUAUCUUAAACAAUUGAUAAUCUUUUACAUCUGAUAAAUUAUUUUAGUAGCUGAUAAGUUGUUAGUUCUUUGUUUUUAGAAUUGAUUUUUAAAGUAUUUGGGUAAUGAGCUUAUAAACUAAUUCUACUCAUUAUAAGAUCUUAAAUAAAAAAGUGGAAUAAAUAUACUUUUUAAACAUGAUCUUAUAUGCUCCCUAACAACUUUAAUUUUUAACUUUAAGAUCUUUUUCAAAAAUUUCACCAAAUACUUUUGAAGAACUUAUAAGCUCAUUUUAACAUCUUAUAAAUUUAGCUAAACUUUCUAUAUUAAAUUGAGUCACAAUCUUUUAUUCAUUUCUUUGUAUUUUGGGUAAGUGCAACAAUUGAUUUAGUGUGUCACAAUCUUUUCUCCAAUUUAUUGUUUUCAUUUGGGUAAGUGUACCAAUUCCUUUCCAAGUAAUUGAUAUUAUAUGCAUAUACUUAAUUAUUUCUCAUAUUUAGCCAAAUUUAUUGGUGAGUGAAUGUUUAAAUUAAAUGCUCCAUUUGUUUGGCACGUCAGUAAAUAACAGCUAGAAAUGUCAAGAUAUGGUCCACAAUAUUUCAAUAAUAUUCAUUCUCAUUCAAUUUAUUAAGGGGGUCACAAUAAUUUGUUCACGGGGGUGCAAGGGCCCAAUUGCAAUUACAUCUUUAUAUAAUUUAAUAAUGGGCUAAAUACACUUUGCACCCCUGAAGUAAAGCUCGUGUAACACUUACCCCCUUAAAGUAUCAUUUGUAACACUUACCCCCCUCAACAUCAAUUAUUUUAUAUUUUAAAAUUUAAAAAAUAAUAAACAUAACAAUCUAAUAAUUAACGGUUCAUAGAAAAUUGAAAAAUAACUAAAACUAAAUUAUUGAAAAAAAAAAUAAAAAGUAAUAUAUAUUGGGUAAUAAUGAAUGAAAAUAUAUUUAAAAAAAUUAAUGAACGAAAAUAUAUUUAAAUACUUAAGAAUUCGAUUACUUAUGUAUUGAUUUCUUAAAAUUUAUUGAUAGAGUAUUUUUGAUUAAUUGGUCCAACAACAAUUAGCUAUAUUUAUUGAAUAAGUAUCCAACGCAAGAUAAUAUUUUUAAAUUUUAAAAUAUUGCAUUUUUCAACAUAUAUUUUUAGUUGUAUAAUUUAAUUAUUCUUUUAGUUAUUCCUUUCAAAAAAAUAAUUUUUUGAAGGUAUUAGAAUUUAAAAAAAAAAAAUUGUGCUUGAGGGGGGUAAGUGUUACAAAUGAUACUUUAAGGGCGUAAGUGUUACAGAUGGUAUACUUUAGGGGUGCAAACUGUAUUUAACCCUUUAAUAAUUUAUCAUUGUACAAGCUACGAUGAGUACUUAAAGAUCAAAUUAUAAUAAUGCAAAUAAAAUAAAAAAUCUGUUAAAAAAAUGAUUAAAAUCCCGGAAGGUAAGGUCAAAUUACGAAAACCUCCUUCUAUUUGGGUAAUUACAACCACCCCUUAACUAUGAAUCUUCUUACACGUCCACCAUUGCGGUGUCAAAUUUAGUGGAAUCUUCUAGAUUAUAUAGAGUAUUCUCAAUUUUCUACCUGUUUAAUCCCAUUCGAGCUCCACAUUUUGAAGCAAAAUGAUCAUAAAAUGUACUUUUUGGCUUGUAUAUAUCAGAUUGUGAUGCAUCAAAAACUGCAUUUUUUGUACAAAACGAGUACAAACUAGAGAACAUUCCACGCAAUCUAGAAGAUUAUGUUGAAUUUGACGCCAUAAGGGUGGACGUGUAAGAAAAUUCAUAGUUGAUGGGUGGUUGUAAUUAAAACAGGAUCGAAGUUUUAGUAAUUUGACCUUACCUCAGGCAUGUGGUUGUAAUUUACCCUUAAAAUAAAAUAUAUUUGUGUCGUGUCAUUAAAUAUAGGGUAAUUGACACUUUGCACCCUCAAAUUACAUAAGUUUGGCUUUUACGUCUUUAAAUUAGAAAAAUAGCACUUUGGACCCUCCAAUUGCAAAUUCUUUGGCACUUUCCACCAUCUAACAAUUUUUAGAAUGAUUGGCCGGUUUAGUUUGUCCAAGAGGGGCAGAUGAAUCAUAGUACGGGACCCUAUAAAGACAAAUCUACCCUUUGAGAAAUCCCACUAAACCGGUUGCCGGUAAUUUUUCCAGCCAAAAAGUGCAAGAGUAUGCAAAGUGCAAAAAAAUUACAAUUAUAGAGCAUAAAGUGCUAUUUUUUUUAAUUGAAGGGUACAAAGUAUCAAACCCGUGUAAUUCAAGGAUGCAAAGUGUCAAUUACACAUUAAUUAUACAAUUCGGCGGGAGAUAAGAUUAGACCAUUAGUGGACUAAAUUAAAAUAAACUGAAAAUGGAAGGACGCAUUUGAAGUUUUGACAAACAACAAGGGGUCAAAAUAAAAAUUUAACCCUCGAAAUUCGUUAUAAGCGUUUUACCUAUCCGUAAAGACAACACCACACACAGUUCAAUUCACGCACUACAAAAACACAGUUGACAGCAGAAACCAACAAUGUUGGCUUAUCCAAUCAGAGCAAUGGGUAUCGAGAAGGAACUUCUCAGAGCCGGCACCGGUCCGAAGCCGGUCUCCGGCCAGAAAGUCACCGUCCACUGCACCGGAUUCGGUAAAAAUGGCGACCUUUCCAAAAAGUUCUGGAGGUAAUUUUAAAUUAUUAUUAUUUUUUUUAAAAUAUUAUUUUGGCAGUGAAUCUGAGUGUUGCAAUUUGGGGGUAACAGUACGAAGGAUCCAGGGCAGAAGCCUUUCACAUUCAAAAUCGGCCAAGGCGAUGUCAUCAGAGGUACUUUUCGCUAUGAAUGUUGUACUUUCUUUGCCCUAAUUUGAAAUUGAGCAACUGGAAAUUAUGAAAGGGGAAGUAUUUUUUAUUUCUCUUUCUUUCUUUCUAUCUUUCAGAAUGUAUCUGUAAGUAAUUGAAUGGAUAUAUAUAUAAUUUAUGCUGAAUUUGUAUAAUUAGGGGUGCCAGCUGCCAUUUUGUUAGGAGUUUCUGCUUUUAUCUUUGAGAAAGUUUUCCAUCAAACCUUCCUAUAAAGAAAUGAGUUAUGAGAAAAUGCUGAAAAAUAGUAACUUUUUCUCGUUUUUCGGUUGCGGAUAGUAUAAAUAAUGCUGUAUUUUGUGAUUGGAUAUGUGAUGAAAGUAUAAUGAUGAUCACGAUUCAUAUGAUGUUUGUUCAUUUGCAUAAUUUGUGCUUGGACGUCUCUUAUUUUUUUGUUUUUGUUCGUUUAUUUUUCAAAGUAAUGUAUUGAAUAUUGUUUUCUACUCCAACUUUAAAUUCAACUAAUAUCAAGAACGAUACUGCAUUUGGAAAUAAGUGCAUAAUAAGUGCAGUUAUGAUAACAUUCGUGUAUUUAAGAACUCACAUUUGAUUUUCGUUUCACGCUAAACACGUAGGUACGCCAACGGUUAUCUCGAUUAAAUAUGUUGUAAACAUACACAUAAUGCACUAAUUGAACACUCACGUAUAUCGACUAUAUUUUUCCCAAUACGUUAAAAAAAAAUCUUAUGUAUUUUUCUUCCUUUGACUGCAUAUGGACUUUGUUGCAGGCUGGGAUGACGGAGUAUUAGCAAUGCAAGUGGGAGAACUUGCUCGAUUGAAAGUAAUAAUCCGAAUCCAUUACUCUGUAUUUUGUUUCUAUGAUCGAGUAAAAUCGAGAUCACCCCAAAUUCUUCAUUUAUAUUUUUAGUAAGAAGUUCUUUGCUUCUGAUUCCGUGCUUAUUCUGUUUUUCUUUUUUUGUUUUUUUUUUCUCGUGGGAGAUAUUAUUCGAACCUGCAUCGAAUGUCUCGUUGAUCUUUUUUUUUUCUUUUCUUUUUAAUCAUCUGCAGUGUACUCCUGACUAUGCAUACGGUCCAAGCGGCUUUCCAGCAUGGGGUAUCGAGCCUAACUCUGAUCUUGUCUUUGAGAUUGAAGUUCUUAGUGCUAAGUAACCAUCUUAUUACUUCUAAUCUAUGUAGUUUGUUUUGACUGAUGUUUUAUUUUUUUUUUGCGCUUUUUGAGCUUGAGCUUGUGAAGAAUCGGAACAGCGAGUUUAAUCGAGUUACGUAUGUUUCGUUUUACCGAUUUUUGUUUAUCAAAUCCAUUCUGAAACGUCGAAUUUCGUAAUUUACCAACCUUUCGAUGAGAGGUUAAAUAAGUGAAGAAAAGAAAAUUAGAUUCCUCAAAAAUAUGCCCUCACAAAUUAGUGCAUGCAAUUAAUGAGUGUUCUUUAUAAGUUGGCUGCAGCUUAGUAUUUGAUAAAGGGAAAAUUAUAGUUUUCAUCCCUCAAGUUUGCACUGAUUUCAUAUUUGGUCCUUCAUAUUAACAAAAAACACAUUUAGUCCCUCGUGUCUCAAUAAUUUAAUACUUCUAGACUUUUAGUCCUUUUUCGUCAAUUUACCGGUAAUCCAUCAGUUAAAACAGUGAUGGGCACAUACUUGAUUCUGUUAGUACUAACGGAUUAUUGACGGAAAUGACUAUAAAUGUUGAAUUUCUAAAACAUGAGGGUCCACAUGUGAAAUCGAUACAAACUUGAACGAACGAUGAAAACUGUAUUUUUCCCAUUUGAUAAUCUAUUUAUAUUUAGGAAAAAUUAGUGUUGCUAAUUAAAACCUUGAUAUUUGGAUUUGACUAGUCCUGACUCCUGAGAGCUAUGAGAUUAAAGAAAGCAUUAGGUGUAAUUAUUAUGCCGUGCGUGGAUUGCUAAUCACUUUUCGCUGCACGGAAAGUUGAUUAUUGGUCCAACAAUGUAUUAUUAUUAAUAUUAAUAUUAAAAAUAUUGGGUGUAUUAUAUGGUGGAUAAUACACUAAUAUUUUGUGAUGGUUAAUACUUAAUAGUGUUUGCAAUUUAUAAUUUUAUUAUUAUCUGAAAGUUGCACUCAUAAUAUAAAUACUAACAUGUAUUAUAUACUAUAGGUGAGUAAAGAAUGGAACUUUGAAUUUUGUCGACUUCGAUUCGAAUAUUUCUGAUUGUAGAAUAUUCUUUUUUAAAGCUUCAAUCUACAAUUUUUCCGAAAAAUGUUUGGAACGAAAAUGGAAUUAUGUUUUAACUUGUGAAAAUAAUCUAAAAAUAUUAAUUUCGAUCUGAUCCGUUCGAUUUCUACCCCUAGUCUCAUGCACCUGCCAACGGCCGACAAUAAAAUCCAUGAAAAAAAAUUGUAUACAAUUAAAAAUAGCAAAGAGAAUACUACAAUUACUCUCAUAUAAUAACUUGCAAAUCAUACAAGAGACGUAAAUUACAUUAGGCUAAUCAUGUGCGACAAACUCGAUCUAGUAAUUAUUGGUAAAUAUGUUCGAACUCAGAUCAAUUGAUACGAUUUCACUUGCUCCAACUGCUCGAUAUCUCUUACAGCAGGACUAUUAUGAACUAUUAUGAAUAAUUCUUCAUAGUUUGGUAGCUUUUGAUUGUCGGCAUUUUUUCUUCCCUACAAUUGCAAUAAUUUGUUUUCUCACACACUUCUGUAAUAAAGACAAAUUAGAGUAGACUCGUUGAAGUCAAACAUAGUAUUUAUUUAAUCAACCUCCAUUAUUUCAGUAUCCACGAAUCAGUAAUAGUUUUAUAUUAUUAAUAAUACCCAUAUUAUAUAUGUAACCAUGAACUAUUAAAAAAUAUAUAUAUUUUUUCCAUGCACAUUUGAACCUUUAGAAUAACAUCAUACGUAUUAAGGCAAAUUGAUAAUUAAGUAUUUGUAUUUCACACUAAUCUUAAUUUUCUUAGAUAAUAUUACAUACAUUCAUUUUUAAAUUAAGUAUUGUCUAAUAUUUAUCUACAUGUAUUAAGAAUAUUAAGAAAUAAUAUUCUAAUUAAUUAUUUAGUUAAUCACAACUAAUUUUCCAAUGUAUGAUUGGUUGAAAUUUUUUCGUUAUCAAAUAAAUAAAUUUUAGACGAAUGAAAAGAACAUUUAAUUAAUGGAAGAAAAGUAAAUUUAAAAAAUAAAAAAUAAAAAAUAAAAAUUGUGGAGGAAUCUAAAAGUAGGAAAAAGGGUAUUAUGGUCAUUGAAUGUAUUAUAUAAUCAGAGCAAACCCCAUUUGUGAAGAGUGCCUACUACAUUCAAUUGAUAUCCAAAAAAUACUGUUCAUCUUCUCUAUCUUCCACCCAUUUCAUCAGAAUCUCUCACUACCACUAUUCACUGUUCAUCACCAGAAGAAAAAUUUGUGAAGCUUCGGACGCUCUUCUAUCUCGAUCUGUAAGUUGUUCAUAUUUGUUUUCAGUCAUCGGUUUUGAAUUUUUUGUUCUGGCUUUUCGGUUUUGAUUUGCUUUUUUUUUUCUGAUGGAUUCGCCUCUUCAUUAAUUUUCUUCGUUACCCAGGAAAGGAAAGUAAUUUGUUUUGAAUUUGAUGAGUUCCGUUUUGAAUUUUUUUGGGGUGUAAUUAAUUGAUGAAUUAAUCAGGUUUUUAAUUCAGCCAUAAAACGCAGUCGGUUAUUUUUUUUUUUUUGAUUCGCUAAUUUUGCAUAUUUUCAGUCUCGUAUAAAUUGGUUAGGGUUUUCACCAUUUUUGUGUUCAGUACUUGAUUUUUCUUCUUCUCCGAUCUGGAGAAGAUGCAGAAAGUAUGGUUCCUCUUUUUUUUUUUUUUUUGGGGUGGGUGUGGGUGUGUGUGGGUGUUUUGUUUCAAAUGACAACUGAUUGAUCUAAUUGACCUCACAAAAUGCUGUUAUUGCUAUAAUUUCAGGUCGUUUGGUAUACGAUUCUAGUUCAUACGAUUGCAAAGGGGAUGUGGUAGGGAGAAACAUGCGGGGGUUGAGCUUGCUGAUUAACGUUUUUGUUAUCUCCUUGAAUUUGUACUGCAGGGUUAUUCUAAAACUUGCGAUUCUUCCCGUUGAAACCUAGCCCUCGUUUCCUUUUAUCCUUUUAAUUAUAUAUCCAUGGGAACCAAUCGCUUUCCUUCCUAUGUUUGCCUCUUCUACAUUCUAUAAUUUGGCCAUUAGAUUUAGCAUUCAAAACUACUCUAGCCCAUCAAAUCUAUCUCAAUAUCUCAAUAUCUAUAAUUUAGUUCAUCGUUUUUUUUUUAUCUUGUUAUCUUUUGAUUUUGUUGUUCAAGGUUGUUUCCUAAACUAGAUUUCUUUAGACACAUUCCUCUUUGUUUUCAGCUUGAUUUUCUCCUGUCCUUUAUUUAGCAUUCAUCACUCAUUUUCCUGUCCUUUGUGCACUCGACAUUC
RNAcentral lists this long non-coding RNA (77767 nucleotides) under Erythranthe guttata (spotted monkey flower). RNAcentral's name for it is "long non-coding RNA (EGUT_LNC003771)". The stretch from base 10476 to 10547 matches the Rfam family "tRNA". Lineage: Eukaryota; Viridiplantae; Streptophyta; Magnoliopsida; Lamiales; Phrymaceae. The record is from RNAcentral.